CUGCCACAUUUAUUAAAGAUCACCAUAUGAGAGAAAUUUUAAAUUAAAAAAAUAUUGGAAACCUAAACGCCAAUCAAACACAUUACAUAUAGCAAUUUCUCUUUUUAAAGUUCAAUUAUCACUUGAUAGAGUAUUAAGUUUAAUGCAAUACCCCAAUAAUUUUGCAGCUUCUGAUACAGAUCCCUCGACUGCGAAAAUUAGAUCAAGCAGAGCUUGCAUUCCCUGUAGUCAACCAAAAAAAAAAAAAAAUUACUAUGACUUAAAUUUUAAUAGAAAACAAAAGACGAAGCAAGAGUGAAUAGAGUAAUACCAAAGCAAAUUUAGGAUUGUUAGGUCCAAUUUGUGGACCAACUUCUGAACUUCUAAUAGUAGACUUAGGAGGAAGGAUUUGAAGAAGCUGCGGCGGCGGCGAAUACGCAUCAAGAUUCACACUACUCCUCACUUUGAGGGCCAAAAGAGUGCGGAGGCGCGACAAAGCUAACGCGUGAUUCUUGUGCUGUGAUCGGUCUUCGGCGGCCUGCGCUAUGACGCCGGUCAGUACGUGCCUGAGACGUACGGCGGAUUCGUGCUUAUUGCGGUGCUGACCGCCUGGUCCCGACGAUUUGUACGCGUCCAUUUCGCAUUCGCGAAACAGCUCAUCGUCGGUCAAUUCUAAGUAAUUCUUCGAAGAAGAAGAAGAAGAAGAAGUUGAAGAACAAUUGUCAUUGGUGCUGUAAAUUGUAAUUGCAAGACAAGAACAAUGGCUGAUAAUUCCCGUGAUGCUUGUACGACAGAAAGUUUAUAUUUUUCCUUCCGAGUUGGGGAAUCCGAAGCAGGAAUUGAGCGGCCAGCGCCAUCAUCAAUUUCAAUUUCCCUCACUGUGAAUGUGAUAAUCCAAGCAAAGCUUCGUUCUAGUAACACAUUCUUAUAGCAGGCCUAGCCCAAUCUAGCCCAGUCGAGUAAGUGAGCAAUGUUAGUAUUUUAUUAUUUUUGAACUCGCGGUGGCUCUGUAUUAUUGGCAAAAUACUCAUGUAAGAGCAUCUUCAAAAGACUCUUCAAAUAAGAUUCUACUUCAUAUUUGAAGAGCCAUAUCAAUAUUAAACACUCCAAAAGACACGUUAAUUUAGAUUCUUCAAAUAAAAUUUGUUUCUCACUCUUUGAUAUUGCCGAGUGAGUUUCUCCCUCUUCUAUUAAUAUUUUAUUAUUAUUUAUUGAAAAGAUAAGACUGCAAUAAUUAUUAUUUAUGUUUCUUUUAAAAAAUAUAAUAACAAUUCAAUUUGAUAGUGGGAAAGAUUUGAUUAAAAUAAUAUUAAUUUAUUCUUAUUUGGUGAGACUUUUGGAGCGGAUUAUAUUUUUUUAUACACUUAUUUGCCACAUCAGUAAGCAAAUUGAAAAUUGAAAAGUAAAAUUUAAAGACCCUUCUGGAGAUGCUCUAAGGCAGAUAAUAUAUUUUAUAUUGGAAUAAUUUCAAAAUAAAUGGUGCUUUAAACAGGUGUCCGAUUGUAAAGAUAUGUCAUAUGUCUAAUAAAACAGUGUUAGAUAUAAUAAAAAUAUAUCCUUUUAUUUAAAGAUGUAUCUAUUCACGGUUUUAUGCUUCAAUUUGAAAUGGUGAUGGUUUAUUUUGGAUCAGUGAUGAUCUAAUUCAAAUUUUGAUUUAAUAAUCAUAAAUGAAAAACUACAUUUGCAAUGUGUCUCGAAGCACCAUCAAUUCUUACCUAUAUUUUAAUUAAAAUAAGAAUGAAACUAUUGGCACUCAUUCGUUAUUCUUAUAAAACCUUAUUUCAAAUAAAAUUACAGUUAAGGGCAAAGAAGAAAUAAACACAUGUAGGAUUUUUUUUUCCCAACAAAUUACUUACAUUAAUAAUCAAUCCCCUUUUUUUUAAAUUUCUUACCAUUAUUUCUUAUCUAACUAAGAUAAAUUGUAUAAAUCUAGCAUAAUCUAUUUUUCUUUUCCUAUUUCUUAUUGAUUAAAUAUUUUCGUACUCAAGAUUACUUUCAAACUACAAUCUAAAAUAUGUGUUAUUUAAGCUAAUGAUUAGCAUUCAAACUUUAUCACCUAGAAAACUUUUUAAUUUUUAUGUAGGAUAACAAUAAGAUUGCAAAAGAGAUGAAAAAAAGCACAAUACUACUUUGAGUUUUAACAAUAAAAAAAAGAUUAAAUGAAAAACUAAAAGAGCGUCUUUGAAAAUAAAAGGAAAUUUUUGGAAAUAAAAUAAAUAUAACUGAAAAAAAAGUUUGAUGAGGAGACUAGAUGGGUGCCAAUAGUCCAACUUUUAAAAUAAAGUUUUAUCAAUUAUUGAUCCCUUUUUCUGCAAUUAUUAUUCCCCACAAAUAUUUCUCCAACAUUUUAUUUCAUAUACUUACUUCUACUAUACUCUAACAAAAGGCGCCUUUUUGAACUACAUCAGUUUCUACUUUCUAGAUGCAUUUUAUUACUAAAUUAAAUAAAGGCACCAUCCAUUGUUCAAUUUCUCUAUUUUUUUUCUCUAAAUCACCACUUUCUGUCAGCUCUCUUAAAAUUUAUUAAGGAAUCUAUGUUGAAGACCAUUUCAUCCUUAGUAUUGUGUAAAUGUAUAAAAAUACAUUUUACACUUUGAAAUUUAAAAUGACCUCCUUUUAGCACAAAAUUUUAAAACAAAUGCCUCUAACUAAGCGACAAAUUUUAGAAUCAUGAUAAGUACCAUAUCUGCCAUAUAAAAAGUGAAUCAUACUAUGAUAUAUGUACAUUUAUUUUGAAAAAUCAUCACGUAAAUAAUGGUUAUAUUGAAUCUAAGUAAGUGCAUAUCAUACAUGAAACAACCCAGCCCCGCCUCUCUGCUGGAUUCGAGGUGAAUCAUGUGAUCUUAUAUCUAAAGCUUGUGAAAUAAAUUUAAUUCAUGAAUGCAUAACACUAGUCUCGGCCUUUGUUAUAAACAUAUAAUAACAUAUGUGACUCAUUCAAAAAUAUAUUCAAAACUUGAACAGUUUACAUCUUACUGUACAUACAUACACUUUGGAUAUAUAUAUACAAACAUAAACAUGCUCAAAAUAUAAGUCAUGCAAUAAUGCGUGUCGUGGCCCAACCUCAACUGAUUAGAAACUAAACUGCACAACACAAAAUCCUAUGAAAAUCUUAAAGAAAUGGGGGUAAAUAGGAAAAUAGUAUACUUGUGGGUAAAUGAAUGGAUAUAAUUAUAUAAAUAAAUUAGCGCUCUAGUGCUCGUACAUAAUUGUAUGACAUAACUUCGCACUAAACGCAUUACACAAGCAAACAUGAAAUCAUAUAUUUAUACAUGAUAAAACUGCACCAAAUAAUAUCUAGGAGAAAUAACUCUUAAUACUCAUUGGAAUCAUCAUUGCACAAGUAAAGUAGGGGAAACACCUCUCAAUACUCAGCGGAAUUAACUACAUCACAAGGGCCGAGUAAUCUAACUCUCAAUACACAUAUAGAGAGCCUAUGGGGAAGGGUACACAUAUGGUAUCUGGCAAUCACAUCUCAUUAUUCAAUCAAUCAUAUAAUAUGAGUACAUAUAAUCAUGACAUGAUACUAAAUCAUACUAACAAGCAUAAAUACUUUGUAGGAUACAUAUAAGUAAUAAUAGUAAUCCACUCACAAAACAUUUUUCACUCCGAGGUUUGUUGGAGCUCCUAUAGAUUCCUUAAUUCUUGGAUUUCUCCUAAAUAUAGGGUUAAAAAAUUAACUGUUAGAAUUGAUAUAAAAACUUUUACAUAUGACAUAAACUAAAUCAUAAUUGUUCAAAUUUCUUAAAUACGUUACCUAUUGACUUAAUGGAUAUAGAUAUAACUAUCCAACUCUCUUUCCUAUAAUAUUUCCUCUCAAUUCCUCUUUUCAAAAUUAUUUUUCACUCUCGGUUUUUCUUUUCUUUAUUUUUUCUUCUUCAUCUUUUAUUCUUCUGUUCUUUUCCUCUUCUUUCUUCAUCUUUUCUUCUUUUGUUCUUUUCCUCUUCUCUUUUCCUUUUGUUUUCUUCCCUUCUCACCUUCUCCUUUCUUUUUCUUUUCUCUUUGAAUUGCUUUGUUUUAGUUUGAUUCAUGAAAAUGGUGACAGCUUCUUCAAUUCUUUAUAUAUAUACAUUGCCUCCAAUCAUGCAUGCAUGACAGGCACAUAGCAUGCAUGUGCUUUGCUUUAAGCCGACAGCUUGCUAGUUAGCCACAUGUGCUCCCUUUUGGCUUGCAUGUGAUUGAUUGUAUUAUUUUUAAUAUAUUAUAUCAUUUCUUUUAAUGAAGGAUGUAGCCAACAAUUUUAUCCAGCUAAACAUGUUCUUUGACAUAUAAUACAGUUUAUGGUCAAACAACUCAUAAGUAGUUGAAAUUAAAUUAUUUUUUAAUCUCAAUUUUCCUUUUCUCUCAAUUUUAAAAUACUUUAAAAGAUUUUCAAACAUAAGAUACAAUGGUAUACAAUUGAAGCCUAAUCCAACAUUGAAAGAUUAAAUAAAAUUAAUUUUCAUUACUACUCAAGAGACUUGAAAGGACAUUAAGCCAGCGUUUAUUUUUUAUUUAAAAUCUGAAUAGGUCAGAAUUUAUUUUUAGGAUACAGUAUUUAUUUUUCAUUCAAACAUUUUUUUCAUUUCGGUAAAGGUAACAAAAAUUUACUUUUUUAAUUCAAAUGUAAAUAUCUAAAAAUCAGACAUAUGUUAAAAAAAAAUAGCUAAUUUUUUUUAAAAAAAAGUUAGACUUCAUAUGUUUAAAAUCCACGCUAAGGAACAUGAAUAAGAGCUAUUAAAACAAAACAAAAAAGAAUAAUUUUGAAACUAAAUACAAUUAAUCGAGAGAUGAGGACCAAUAAGAUAAAUUCAGAGAUAAAAAGUAACAUAUCACCCUACUUAUUGCUGGCAGUUAUGAGCAUUAAAGCACAGAAGCCGUGUGUUGAAAAGUAUGGUGUUCGUGUGGAAUUUUCAGCUAAAAGUCUACAAAGCAGUUGAAUUAAUCAAUCAUCGUGGAGUGCACGGUGCUUGGACAGUGAGAUGAAAUUGAAAAAUUAUCACGGAACUUGAAGGAAGGUUCAUGGCAUCGAUUUAUUCUACAGAGUCACGCACAUUUGGUUCAAUAAUUGUUUUCAUCCGAAUCAAAAUCUCUCUUUAAUCAAUUCAACUGUUUCUGUUGAUUAUGGCUUCUUCUUCUCGAAACAACAAGAAGUAUGAUGUUUUUGUUAGUUUCAGAGGAGAGGACACCCGAGACAACUUUACUAGCCAUCUCUAUUCUGCUCUGUGUCGACAAAAUAUCCAAACUUUCAUUGAUGACCAACUUAACAGAGGAGACGAAAUUUCGGAGUCACUUGCAAAUGCAAUUGAAGCAUCAGCCAUUUCAGUUAUCGUCUUCUCAGAAGGGUAUGCAUCUUCCAGAUGGUGUCUCGAUGAACUUGUAAAGAUCCUCGAGUGCAAGAAAGAUUAUGUACAGAUUGUGAUCCCGGUUUUCUAUCUGGUUGAUCCAUCAGACGUGAGAAACCAAAGUGGGAGUUUUGGGGAUUCAUUUUCGAAGCUCGAAGAAAGAUUAAAGGUGAAUACUGAGAAGUUCCAGACUUGGAGGAAUGCUUUGAAGGAAGCAGCCAGUUUGUCUGGCUUUCAUUCUCUUAACAUCAGGUGAAAAGCUACUUUUAAUUUCGUGUACUAAUAUUCAACACUGUAAAGAUAUAUGAAUAGGAGCUGGGCCUAAAACAUUAAGCUACUUGCUAGUCAAAUUAAGCUACUUGCUAAUCAAAUUAAUUUCUUUCAAAAUAAAACUAUAAAGAAUUGGGUAUUUUUCUUUUUUCUUUUUUAAAUUUUCCAGAUGCUAAACUACACUUUUAAAAAUUUUUAAGCAUCAAAUUCUAGACUUCCUGACUUCCCAACUUUUGUGCUCCCAUAAUUACAAAAUAAUUUUGAAAGAAUUAAUAAUAAAAGCUCGAGAAUUUUACAAUAUAUAUCUAACAAAAUUAGUGGCGGUCUGUCGUUUUUAAGCAAUUGCAACCUCUCACUCAUAUGCCGCCAUUAUAAAAAAAAAGGGAAAUUAUCAUUGCACCACCUCUCUUUUACCUAAUGUUCAUCCAACCACCACAAAAUUCUCACAUGUUCUUUGCACCACAUUUUUUUUUUUAAAAAUUUGUAUCAAUUAGCCACUUUUGCACUAACAUCGUAAAAUAAUUUAAAUGAAAUGAUAAUUUUACUCUUAAAUAAAUUAAAAGACCAUUUUUAUUUUAGAAAAACAUUGAAAAUAAAAAAUUAUAAUUAUAAAAUACUCCUAAAUUUAAAUAAAAAUAAAUCCCAAAAUUAAAAUUUUAUUUUUUAAUAAAUAUUAUUUUAAUAAAAAGUUAUAAUUAUAAAAAUAAUUAUAAAUUUUGGGAUUUAAUAAAAAUCCCCUAAAUUAUUAAAAUUUUGGGAUUUUUUUAAUAAAUAAAUUCAUUUAUUUUAAUAAAAGUUUACAAAAUUAUAAUUUUUUAAUAAUAAAUUCAGUUAUUUUUAUUAAAAUAUUGCAAAAUUAUAAUUUAAUAAAAAUAAUUAUUAAAAUUUUGUAAAAUCUAAAUUUAAUAAAAAUUGGCUGCGCACCUCUAUUUGGGAUUUAUGUUUAAUUAUAAUUUUUUAUUUUUCAAAAUUUUUAUAAAAUAAAAUGAUCUUUUAGUUUAUUUAGGGGUAAAUUUGUCAGUUUGUUUAAAUUAUUUAACGGUGUUAGUGUAAAAGUGGCUAAUUGAUACAAAUUUAAAAAGAAAGGUGGUGAAAAGAAUAUAUUAAAAUUUUGUGGCUAUUGGAUGAGCAUAAGACAAAAGAGAGGUAGUGCAGUGAUAAUUUCCCAAAAAAAAAAAACUCACACAUAUUCUUGUAAUUUAAGAGUUAUUAAUUUACUGGGAGAUUGUGGACUAGUGGUGGUAUAUAUUAAUUUCAAUAAGAAAACUGACAAUCUCCCUUAUUUCAUACUUAAUGCAAAUUCCUCGUAUUAAUUUGAAGUUACUUUGGCUAAUUUUAUGUAUUUGCUAGGUGUGAGUCGGAACUUACAAAUGAAGUUGUUAAUCACAUUUUGAAGAGACUACUGGAUGAAGUGUUUCAGCCCCGUGAUAACAAAAACCAGCUGGUUGGAGUGGAAUCAACAGUUGAGGAAAUUGAAUCCCUAUUAGGUGUUGAGUGGAAAGAUGUUUAUGCUUUAGGGAUUUGGGGCAUUGGUGGUAUAGGCAAAACAGCAAUUGCUAGAGCUAUUUUCGACAAAAUCUCGGGUGAUUUUGAAGGUUCUUGCUUCCUCGAAAAUGUUAGAGAUGAGUCACAAAGACCAGGAGGAUUAGCUUGCUUACGACAAAAACUUCUUUCAAAUUUAUUGAAGGAUAAAAAUGUGAUGCCUUAUAUUGACCUCAAUUUUAGAAGGCUCAGCCGCAUGAAGGUUUUGAUUGUUUUUGAUGAUGUGACUUGCUUCAGCCAAUUAGAAUCUUUAAUUGGAAGUCUUGAUUGGUUGACGCCUGUGAGUCGAAUCAUAAUAACCACCAGAAAUAAACAAGUGCUUAGAAAUUGGGGGGUGAGGAAAAUCUAUGAGAUGAAGGCAUUAGAAUAUCAUCACGCUAUUGAGCUUUUUAGUCGACAUGCCUUCAAACAAAACCAUCCUGACGUUGGUUAUGAGGAACUUUCAAGCAAAGUAAUGAAAUAUGCUCAAGGUGUUCCUUUAGCUCUUAAAGUUUUGGGUUGCUUUCUGCAUAAAAGGGAAAAAGAAGUCUGGGAAAGUGCAAUAGAUAAAUUGCAAAGAAUCCUCCAUCCAAGUAUUCUUGAGGUAUUAAAAAUAAGUUAUGAUAGUUUGGACGAUAAGGAGAAAAAUAUUUUCCUUGAUGUUGCUUGUUUCUUUCAAGGUGAGGAUGUAGAUCUAGUAAUGAAAUUUUUUAAUGCAAGUGGCUUCAACCCAGAAAUAGGAAUGAGUGUUCUUGUUGAUAAGUCUCUCAUUGCUAUUGAUUCAUACAACAAGAUAACAAUGCAUGAUUUACUACAAGAAUUGGGUCGGGAAAUUGUUCGACAAGAAUCAACUAAUCCUGAAAACCGCAGUAGGCUCUGGCAUCAUCAAGAUAUCUAUGAAGUUCUUACGUAUAAUACGGUAAGCAGUUUGUUGUGUAUUAUUAUUUUGGAAUAAUGUAGUGUUUAAAAACUUGAUGUGAAUAUAUUUACAUACGCUCGCACUCGUGAGUCUUAGAAUUAAUGGAGGAGUGGCAAUGAUUAGAAAAAACAAUAGUGGUUAGAUGACGUGGUUAGAUGACGUAGCAAUAAAUUAUACAUGCAAUGACAAUUUGCAUAACCGUUUGCAAGCAUAGUUGAUAUGUAAAUUUGUCUAUUACACAUGCAGAAUUUUUAUGUUAAUUAUUACUUGUGUUAUUAGGUUUCUUUGUGCAUUUGCAAGUAAGAGUUUAACUGCGUAGCAAUAACUAUAAACAUGAAUUAUUGAAAUUUGAUUCCAGUAAUGACAGAGAGCCCCACUCCAAUCCCACAUAAACUCCAUGCAAGAAUAAAUAAAAUUUGAAUUAAUAACUAAGCUACCUCUAAUUGUAAAUUAGUGACAAAAUUGCCCCAAAAAUUUUUUCUUGGUGGGGUUGAAGUGCAAUUCAUUAGUGGAAUAUAUAUAUCAUCUUUCAUUUGAUUUUAACUUUAUUUUUUUUAUUUAUUUUUAGGGGACAGAAAAAAUUGAGGGCAUCUGUUUGGAUAUAUCAAAAGUAAAAGAGAUCCGUCUAAAUCCUAAUACUUUCACAAAGAUGCCUAAAUUGAGAUUUUUAAAGUUCUAUAGUUCAUCAGUCAAUGGAGAGAACAAAUGUAAGAUAUCUUAUUUGCAAGAUCCCAGAUUUGCUGAAGUGAAAUAUCUUCACUGGUAUGGAUAUCCGUUGAAGUCAUUGCCUUCAAACCUUAGUGCAGAGAAACUUGUGUUACUUGAAGUGCCUGAUAGUGACAUUGAACGACUUUGGGAUUGUGUGAAGGUAUGCAUACCCUAUUAUACAUGUGCAAUCUUUCAAAUUACAACAUUAAAUUAUUAUACGUGGUAACGAUUUUGUCUUGGCCUCUUUUUUGACCGAGCAGCAUUAUAGUAAGCUAAACCAGAUAAUCCAUGCUGCCUGCAAUAAGCUAAUUGCCAAAACUCCAAAUCCCACGUUGAUGCCAAGUCUGAACAAGCUAGUUAUCUUGAAUCUAAGAGGUAGCAAAAGCCUGAAAAGUCUUCCAGCUAGAAUAUUUAAUUUGGAAUUUCUUAUCAAACUUGAUCUUUCGGGCUGAUCAAAACUGAAGAGGCUUCCGGAGAUCUUAUCAGGUAAUAUAAGCUGGUUACUUUUAAGGGGGACUGCAAUUAAAGAACUGCCCUCAUCAAUUGAGCUUCUACAUAGGCUCGGGUACUUGGACCUUUCAGAUUGUAAAAGGCUUAAGUGUCUCCCAAGCAGCCUAUGUAAGUUGAAAUCUCUUGGAGUUCUUGAUCUCCAUGGUUGCUCAAAUCUUCAGAGAUUGCCCGAAUGUCUUGGCCAGUUAUCCUCGCCAAUAUUAUUGAAUCUAGCGAAAACCAAUAUUGAGAGAAUACCAGAAAGCAUUAUCCAACUUUUUGUGUUGCGAUACCUCCUCUUAAAUUAUAGUGAGAGGCUUCAAUCCUUACCAAAGCCUCCAUUCCUUGCACGAGGGUUAGAUGCCGAUCAUUGCCCACUGCAAUCAUUAUUAGGUUUAUUCUCUAAGUUCUGAAUCUUAUAGCAGUGUCUUUUGAGCAGAGCAAUAAUUUUAAAUUGAAAGGUAAUUAUACUGCAGGAAUUGUUGAAGAUGCCCUGAGAAUUCAGCAUAUGGGCUAUGUGCUAGCUGUCCGUUGGAAAGAAAUACGGGAAAAGGUGUCUUUAACUCUGUUUCCUUUCAAUUUAUACAAUUUUUUUUUUGGGGUUUAAAAUUAUGAUUUUUUGGUAUAGGGAGAUUUUUCCACGGACAAGGUUCAUAUCGUACUACCUGGGAAUGAAAUUCCAAAUUGGUUUAAGUUCCAAAGUGUGGGAUCUUUUAUAACCUGGGAGAUGCCACCAGAUUUCUUCAAUAAUAGCGGAGUGCAGGGCAUUGCAUUUAGUGCUAUUUUAGCAUUUUCAGACCGUCAUGUAGAUUGUGGCAGAUGGUUUUCAUUUUCUUUUGAGCUCAAAGUGAAAACCACUAAAGAUUGUGGUCCGCAUGACACACGAUUAUUUCAGAGCAGAGUUAAUUAUGUAGAAUCAGAUCACUUACAUUUGGGGUACUAUCUGUUCUGUGAAGAGGAUUUUAAAGGUUUUUGGAAAUGCAAUUGCAUUCCUGAGGCUGUCCAAUUUAAUGUUUUUCCACCUUUGGAGUGCCAGUGCUGCGGGGUGAAAAAAUGUGGGAUCCAUUUACUUCACACCCCAGAUUCUAUGAAUUCAAUGUAAGAUCCAAGCAGAUGUUUCAACUGUAACGUAGAAGACUGAUAUUUUCAUGAAUCUAUUUUUAUUGUUUUCCUUUUUCUAAUGAUUAUUAAUAAUAGGAGAAAAUGCUAAAAUCAGUUCUUGGAACAAAACAUUCAUGUAAUAACUUUGGAGGGAUCAGGUGCAUGCAAUUACCUUCAAGGGAUUUGGUGCAAGCAACACAAAUUCACACUAGAGCAUAGAACAUUGCCUAUAAAUAAAAGUAAAAAGACAACCUAAAUGAAGGAGCACAUGAUUAUCUAUAAAUAAAAGUCGCAACAUUUUCUAUAAAUAGAAGUUACGCCAUUUCGUGAUCCAUAUAUCUUCUUGCACCACUCUUUUUUUUCUUUUUUAUUUUAACCCCUCUUUCCUAAAACGAAUUUCUGCAUAAUACAUCUAUAUUUUAUGCAUCAAAUCCUUAAUAUAUUAUUUUUUGCAGGAACAAUAUAUUAAUUUUCGUAAGCUUACAACAUACAAGGACAUUUAGGUUUGCUUUUGUUAGUGCAUAAUACAGGCAAAUAUACACAAGCACUUCAUUAUAUCAUGGAGGCAUAUUUGCUUAACUUAUGUAUAUCACUCAAUUGGAAGAGGGAGUAAAUAACGUCUUGAGGAAAACAAUAUUGUGUCUCGCAGCACUGUUAAUUCAUACAGUUUACUAUUAUGAUUAUUAUUCUUUGUACCUAUAAAGUUUCAUCAAUUAUAUUUUCCACAAUUAUUAUUCCUCACGAAUAUAUUUCCAAUAUUUUAUUUCGCAUAUUUACUUCUGCUACUAGUGUGAUAACAAAAGAUGCCUUUUUGAACUACAUCAGUUUCUAGAUCUAUUUUAUUGAGAAACUAACCGAACGCACCAUCCAUUAUUUAAUUUAUGGGUCAAAUAAGUCAAAAGUAGUUGAAAUAAAAUGUUUGUUUGGUAGAUAAUAUCGAUUUUUAAAAUAGUUUAAAAGAUUCUCAAACAUAAGAUACAAUAAUAUACAAUUGAAGCCUAGUCCAACAUAGAAAAUCAAAUAAAAUUAAUUUUCAUCACUACUCGAGAGACUCAAAGAGUACUAAGGUAGCUUUUUUUAUUAUUUAAAAUUUGAAUAGGCUUGAAUUUGGGUGAAGUCUUAACAUAAAUGUCUAAAUAAUAUGUUUAUUUUUUUUAAUAUCUGAAAAUUAAGUGACAUCUUAUUUUUUUAUAAUUUUUUUUAAACAAACAUGGUUAUUUGACAUUUUUGUCCUUAUAAGUCAAAAUGAAUAAAUGGAUUAAACUUUAUAGUUUAAGAAAUAACUAUAUUUAAUAGAAAUAUCUUUAAGAUAUAGUAUUUACUUUCCAUUCAAUAUAUGUUUUCAUUUUGAUAAAAGUCACAAAAUUCACUUUUUGUAUUCAAAUGUAAAAAUCUAAAACUUAGACAUAAGUUCCCCAAAAAACAAAUAAAUAAAUAAACAAGCAACAUUAAGGGAAAAAAAAGGUUAGGUAGCUUUUGUUUUAAACAAAAAUGAUAAAUAAGAUAAUUUUCAAAAUUAAAUACAAUUAACUGAGAGACGAGGACUGAUACGAUAAAUUGAGCGAUAAAAAUUAAAAUAUCUCCCUGGUCGUUGCUGAUAGUUAUGACUUGUGAGUGUGAAAGCACAGAAGCCGUGUGUUGAAAGUAUGGUGUUCAUGUGGAAAUUUCAGCAAAAAGUCCACAAAGUAAAUUCAGUCAUCGUACAGUCCACGGUGCUUGGACAAUGAGAUGUUGAAAAAAUUAUCACCGAACUUCAAGGGAGGUUCAUAGCAUCGGUUUAUUCUACAGAGUCACGCACAUUGGAUUCAAUAAUUGUUUUCCUCCCAUCAAAAUCGAUUUAUGUUGAAAAGCCGUAUGUUGAAAAGUCUGGUGUUCAUGUGGAAUUUUCAGCUAGAAGUCUACAAAGUGGUGGAAUUAAUCAAUCAUCGUGGAGUGCACGGUGGUUGGACAAUGAGAUGAAAUUGAAAAAUUAUCACGGAACUUGAAGGAAGGUUCAUGGCAUCGAUUUAUUCUACAGAGUCACGCACAUUUGGUUCAAUAAUUGUUUUCAUCCGAAUCAAAAUCUCUCUCUAAUCAAUUCAACUGUUUCUGUUUAUUAUGGCUUCUUCUUAUCGAAACAACAAGAAAUAUGAUGUUUUUGUUAGUUUCAGAGGAGAGGACACCCGUGACAACUUUACUAGCCAUCUCUAUUCAGCUCUGUCGCGACAAAAUAUCCAAACUUUCAUUGAUGACCAGCUCAACAGAGGAGAUGAAAUUUCAGAGUCUCUUGUGAGUGCAAUUGAAGCAUCACCCAUUUCAGUUAUCAUUUUCUCUGAAUCGUACGCUUCUUCCAGAUGGUGUCUCGAUGAGCUUGUCAAGAUCCUCGAGUGCAAGAAAGAGUGUGAACAGAUUGUGAUUCCGGUUUUCUAUCGGGUUGAUCCAUCAGACGCGAGAAACCAAACAGGGCCUUUUGGGAUUUCAUUUUCGAAGCUUGAAGAAAGAUUUAAGGAGAAUCCAGAGAAGCUGCGGAGUUGGAGGAAAGCUUUGAAGGAAGCAGCCAGUUUGUCCGGCUUUAAUUCUCUUAACAUCAGGUGAAACGUUACCUUUAAUUUCUCAUACUAAUAUUCAACAUUGUAAAUAAAAUUCACGCAGCACUCUUAGUUAAAUUUUCCAGAUGAUAAACUACACUUUUAAAUUUUUUCAUGCAUCAAAUUCUAGACUUCUUGAACUUCCCCACUUUUGAACUCCUAUAAAAGAAUUUUUGCAGAAUUAAUAAUAAAAGCUCCAGAGGUUUACAAUAUAUUUUAACAAAAUUAAUGGUGUUCUGUCGUUUUUUAAUCAAUUUCAAUCUCUUACUCAUAUACCAUUAGGGAAAAAAAAAAUCUCUUCCACAUAUAACAUAUUCCUGUAAUUAAAGAGUUAUUAAUUUAUAGGGAAAUUGGAAAUUUCCUUACUCAAAUCAAUAUAUACCACUUAUUUUGACUAUUUUUACAAUAUUUAAUAACUCUCCUGGAGUCCUGGUACCAUCACUUUGCAAUAUUAUCCUUAUGAAAAAAAAUAAGUGGUAUAUAUUAAUUUCAAUAGGAAAACUAGCAAUCUCCUUUAUUUCAAAUUUUAUGCAAAUCCCUUCUAUUUGAAGUUACUGCUGCUAAUUUUAUGUAUUUGGUAGGCCUGAAUCGGAACUUAUAAAUGAAGUUGUUCGCCACAUUUUGAAGAGACUGCUGGAUCAAGUUUUUUGGCGGAAUGAUAACAAAAACCAUCUGGUUGGAGUAGAAUCAAGAGUUGAGGAAAUUGAGUCUCUACUAGGUGCUCAGUCGAAAGAUGUUUACGCUUUAGGGAUUUGGGGCAUUGGUGGUAUAGGCAAAACAACAAUCGCUAGAGCUAUUUUUUACAAAAUCUCUAGCGGUUUUAAAGGUUCUUGCUUCCUUGAAAAUGUUAGAGAAGAGUCACAAAAACCGGGAGGAUUAGCUUGCUUGCGACAAAAACUUCUUUCAAAUUUAUUGAAAGAUAAAAAUGUGAGUCUUGAUAUUGGUCUUAAUUUUAGAAGGCUCAGCCGCAUGAAGGUUCUGAUUGUUUUUGAUGAUGUGACUUGCUUCAGCCAAUUAGAAUCUAUAAUUGGAAGUCUUGAUUGUUUGACGCCUGUGAGUCGAAUCAUAAUAACCACCAGAAAUAAACAAGUGCUUAGAAAUUGGGGGGUGAGAAAAAUAUAUGAGAUGGAGGCAUUAGAAUAUCAUCACGCUCUUGAGCUUUUCAGUCGACAUGCCUUCAAACAAAACCAUCCUGACGUUGGUUACGAGGAAUUUUCAAGCAAGGUAAUGAAAUAUGCUCAAGGUGUUCCUUUAGCUAUUAAAGUUUUGGGUUGCUUUCUAUAUGAAAGAGAAAAGGAAGUCUGGGAAAGUGCAAUAAAGAAAUUGCAAAGAAUCCUCCAUCCAAGUAUCCUAGAGGUAUUAAAAAUAAGUUACGAUAGUUUGGAUGAUAAGGAGAAAAAUAUUUUCCUUGAUGUUGCUUGUUUCUUUCAAGGCGAGGAUGUAAAUCUAGUAAUGAAAUUCCAUAAUGCAAGCGGUUUCUACCCAGAAAUAGGAAUAAGUGUUCUUGUUGAUAAAUCUCUCAUUGCUAUUGGUUCGUACAACAAGAUAAGAAUGCAUGAUUUACUACAAGAGUUGGGUAGGGAAAUUGUUCGGCAAGAAUCAAUUAAUCCUGGAAACCGCAGUAGGUUGUGGCAUCAUGAGGAUAUCUAUGAAGUUCUUACAUAUAACACGGUAAGCAGUUUGUUGUGUAUAAUUAUUUUGAAAUAUUCUAGCAUUUACAAACUUGAUAUGAAUAUAUUUAUAUCUGCUCGAACUGAUGAGUCUUAGAAUUAAUAGAAGAGCAACAAUGAUUGGAAAAAACCAGAGCGGUUAGAUGACAUAGCAAUAAAUUAUAAAUGCCAUGAUAACUUGCAUAAUCGUUUGCAAGCAUAAUUGAUAUGCCAAUUUGUAUAGUACACAGACGGAAUUUUUAUAUUAAGUAUUACUUGUUUUAUUAUGUUUCUUUGUGCAUUUGCAAUUAAAAGUUUAACUGCCUAGCAAUAACUACAAGCUACCUCUAAUUGUGAAUUAGUGAGAAAAUUGCCCCAAAAAUUAUCCCUAUGUAUUGUUGAAGGGCGAUUCAUUGGUGGAAUACACAUAUCUUUCAUUUGAUUUUAACUUUAUUGCUUUUUCAUUUAUUUUUAGGGGACAGAAAAAAUUGAAGGCAUAUGUUUGGAUAUGUCAAAAGUAAAAGAGCUCCGUCUAAAUCCCAAUACUUUCACAAAGAUGCCUAAAUUGAGAUUUUUAAAGUUCUAUAGUUCAUUAUUCAAUGGAGAGAACAAAUGUAAGAUGUCUUAUUUGCAAGACCCUGGAUUUGCUGAAGUGAAAUAUCUUCACUGGCAUGGAUAUCCAUUGAAGUCAUUUCCCUCAAACCUCAGUGCAGAGAAGCUUAUGUUACUUGAAGUGCCUGAUAAUGACAUUGAACAACUUUGGGAUUGUGUGAAGGUAUGCAUAUCUUAUUAUAUAUGUGCAAUCUCUCAAUAACAACAUUAAAUUAUUAUACGUGGUAACGAUUUUGUCUUGGCCUCUUUUUUGACCGAGCAGCAUUAUAGUAAGUUAAACCGGAUAAUCCAUGCUGCCUGCCAUAAGCUAAUUGCCAAAAUUCCAAAUCCCACGUUGAUGCCCUGUCUGAACAAGCUGGUUAUCUUGAAUCUAAGAGGUAGCAAAAGCCUGAAAAGUCUUCCAUCUGGAAUAAUUAACUUGGAAUUUCUUACCAAACUUGAUCUUUCGGGCUGCCCAAAACUGAAAAGGCUUCCAGAGAUCUCAUCAGGUAAUAUAAGCUGGUUAUUUUUAAGGGGGACUGCAAUUGAAGAACUGCCCUCAUCAAUUGAGCGUCUACUUAGGCUCGGAUACUUAGACCUUUCAAAUUGUAAAAGGCUUAAGAGUCUCCCAAGCAGCCUCUAUAGAUUGAAAUCUCUUGGAGUUCUUAAUCUCUGUGGUUGCUCAAAUCUUCAGAGAUUGCCCGAAUGUCUUGGCCAAUUAUCCUCGCCAAUAACAUUUAAUCUAGCGAAAACCAAUAUUGAGAGAAUACCAGAAAGCAUUAUCCAACUUUUCGUGUCGGGAUACCUCCUCUUAAGUUAUGGUGAGAGGUUCCAAUUCGUACAAAAGUCUCCAUUCCUUGAACGAGGUUGCUUGGCACUGCAACCAUUUUUAGGUUUGUUCUCUAAGUUAUGAAUCUUACAGGCAAUUUUUUUUUACCGGAGCAAUAACGGAGUAAUAAUUUUAAAUUGUAAGGUGAUUCUACUGCAGGAAUUGUUGAAGAUACCCUAAGCCAUAUGCUAGCUGUACGUUUGCAAGAAAUAUGGGUAAAUGUGUGUCUUUAACUCUCUCUACUUACAAUUUCUACAAUAUUUUUUUUUGGGGGUUUAAAAUUAUGUUUUUUUGGUACAGAGAGGUUUUUCCCUGGGCAAAGGUCAUAUAGUACUACCUGGGAAUGAAAUUCCAAAGUGGUUUGAGUUUCAAAGUGUGGGAUCUUUUAUAAACUUGGAGAUGCCACCAGAUUUCUUCAAUAAUAGCAGAGUGCAGGUCAUUGCAUUUAGUGCUAUUUUAGCAUUUUCUGACCGUCAUGUAGAUUGUGGCAGAUGGUUUUCAUUUUCUUUUGAGCUCAAAGUGAAAACCACCAAAGAUUGUGGUACGCAUGACACACGAUUAUCUCAGAGCAGAGUUAAUUAUGUAGAAUCAUAUCACUUACAUUUGGGGCACUAUCUGUUCUGUGAAGAGGAUUUUAAUGGUUUUUGGAAAUGCAAUUGCAUUCUUGAGGCAGUCCACUUUAAUGUUUUUCCACCUUUGGAGUGCCAGUGCUGCGGGGUGAAAAAAUGUGGGAUCCAUUUACUUCACACCCCAGAUCCUACGUCAAUGGAAGACCCAAGCACAUGUUUCAACUGUAACGAAGAAGACUGAGAUAGGUGUCAUUUUCACUCAACUCACCUGAGUUGUGAAUCCAUUUGCUUAAACAUGUAUGCACUUUUUCAAGUAUCUCUACCAAUUCCAUAUUUGGAAUGAUGCAUUUGGUUCCAUAGUUGAUGUGGUAUCGUCUAUGGUUAGAAUUUAUAUUUAAAAAAAUGACUUGUAAGGAAAGGAUUGAAGAUGCCUGUGAACUUAUAUUUCGAUUUAGAUUAUUGUAUCUUUUUCAUGUAUAAAAUUGGAUCCUAUCAUUCACAUAUCAUUGACAUGAGCAAUAUGGAUUACUAAAUCAUUAUUCUUUAUUAUUGUGCUGAAUUUGAUUUUUUAUUGAAUAAUUUGAUAUAUUUCUUGAAUCAAUUUGGAGCUUCUACAACAUGUCAGAGAUCAGUUUCUCCAACAUUCCUUUCGGCGCCAAAAGAUAACCAAGCGGUUGAAUAAGAAUUGAUAUAUACAACAUAAAUACAAGAGUUGUUUUGUCUUUUUACAAUAGGAAUAAUAUAUAAUGCUCGUUAAAACUUGCUGAUGAGAAAGUAAAUUCCUCAGAAAUUAAAUGUUUCAGCCAACCAAGGAAGCAGCUUUUCGUGGACCAAUUCAGGCCUGUCGUCAUGGGGGCAAUGUCCUACUCCUUUCAAUACAAUUAACUUCCCGUUUGAGAGUUUAGAAAGCAGAGAUGAGAAGUAUUUACCAACAGGUCCAUCGAGGGGUGUGAAUGGAUCCUCAUCACCCCAUAAAACUAGUAGAGGUAUAGAGAUUGAUGGCAUCAAUUGAACUGGGUUCGGCCCUGGUGGGCCGGUUACAAUCGAAACAAAUGCAUCAAGUGCCCCUUCCUCAUUGGCAGGCUCUCGUAUGAUCUGCAGUUUUGAGGUUGAUUCAUGAAUUCUGAGUAGCCAUUUUUGUAACAGGUUAAAAUGGCAUAUAAGAGGAGAAUAUUAAUACCUCAACCAGUGUUUCAUCCACAGAUUCCUUAUUUGCAUAAAUGGACAGUAAAAUAUUCCUCAGUGUUUCCCUACAGCACCAAUUUAUGCACAUCAUAGAGUUUUUUAAUUUUGACUCUAGUGUCUUGGGAUAAUGAACAAUGGACUGAAUAGAGAGAAGAGAAAAUACCUUGUUUCACACGCUCAAAUAUAGCAGAAGCAAUUGGCCUUUGCUUCAACAAAAAAUCAAUGAACCAAAGCAAUGGGAACAAUAGCUUGAUUCUCCAAUCAUCAACAAUUGCCUUGUUGUUCAUGCCACCAGCACAAUUCAACAGAACAAGCCCUCGAACAAGGGUUUGACUGGAUUCUUAUGGUAGAAAAUAUAGCAGGUUUAUCGUAAACCAUAGAUACCAAAAAGGAUAAUUACGUGCAAGUGUUUCUUUGCAAGCAAGUUGAAGAAUAUCUGAUGUCCAAGGGGAAGUUAAAAUAAAUAUACCUGAGGCAGCAAUAACACAAGCUAGGCUUCCAACCGAGUUACCUAUAAGCACAGUUGGCUUCUUAACAACUUCAUCCAAGAAAUCCAAUAUUAGCUGUAUCAGUGAAUCUCACUCAAGUUAGCAAGGAAAAUAACUAAAGGUCAAGCGAUUGAUGACAAAAGAUCCAACUUCUGGCUAGGGAACAUUGCAUACCUGAGCCCAUCCCUCCAUGGUAUAUGAAUAACCAGCUGGCUUAUCUGAAGCACCAAAUCCAAGAAGGUCAAUUGCAUAAACCGUGUAGCUCUUUGCCAGGGUGCCAAUAUUCCUGAAAUUACUUCAGAGAUGACAAGAAAAAUAUCAAUUCCUCACAUUAUUUAAUAGGAUAAAGGAAUGGUGCACAAGCAAAUUUUCAUUCCCCUUUUCAACGGAGCAGUAAAAUGAAUACUUUUUCACUAGAUUAAGAAUCGGAAAAUGGAAGAAGCCUAUAUCCAUAAAAGGGUAAUAUGAAAUGGAACCCUGAAACUCAGAUCACCGGUUUGUCAUCAUCUAGGUGCAAGGAAUAGAACUAGGUGUUAAUGCCAAUGCACCAGGAAAUAACGAAUAGAUUUACCUUCAUUAUUCUUUUGCUUCAUUCAUCUUAAUUAAUUAUUAGAAGUAUAACACAUAUAAAUGCAUCCCUGAACUUCAUAAUACAUAACAGAGUCAGAGAUAUUACAUACAUAAGGGAAAGACAUGCUCCAUACUAAAAAAAAAUAUAGUCGAAAAUGCCCAGAACGUAAUUUGAAUUGAACUCACAAUAAAGGAGCUACGUUUUUAUGCACCCAAUAAUUAACCCGCUACACAAUUCACAACAAGAAAGAGCAAUCUUAUCUCGCUAACCUGCGCCAGUGAGGAAUGGAGGCACCAAAGCCAUGGACAAGGAGUAGAGGAGGAGAAUUGGGAUGUGAAUUUGGAGUUGAAGAAACCAAGUAAUUGAUGGAGUACUGACCCUUCCAUUUCCACAUUUUGCAACUCUCCCUUAUCUCAUUAACCUCCAAUUCCAGUGCCGCAGAAGCAGAAUCCCCUCCACUGCUACUGUUAGUAUAACUGAUGGUAACAUUUUGUCUCUUCUUCUUCUCCUUAUUCCUCUGCUGGAACUGCAACUGAAACUGCCAACUCUUAUUGCUCAAUAGGGGCAAGCGCAGGCCUUUUACAUCUCCAUUUCCAUUUCCAAUCCUGAGUGUUGUUAUUGGAAUAAUGAAAGAGGGAGCCCGAGCCCUUACCAUCCACACGCUCAUUCUUUUCUUGCUUUUUCAAAUGAAUAUUUUCUGUGGCCUGGCUUGGCCUGCUCCUUCCCUGCUUCCACCUCUAUGAGACUACUAAAACUUUUUAUAUAAUUAUUUAUUGGGCUUAUUCCACUAUUAUAUGAAAAUUUUACUGAUAUUCCUCAAAAAUCAAAAUGAUAAUACUUCGUCUGAAACGAAUAUCAGGUGCUUUACUAAAAUACUCCGGGUGAUUGGUAUUUCCGUCCAAUAAUUUUUGCAAACUCAUUCCAUUUUUUAAAAAUAAUUAUAGAACAUACAUGCUAUGCUUAAAAAUUUUCAAACAAAGAAGAACUUUGUAGAAGGUAAAACUAUUAAGAAUUUACUUUAACUUUAAUAUUUUUCUAAUUUUGUACCAAACUCAUUGUUUCUAAUACUAUUUUAUUAGUAUGAGUUUUAAUCUUUAAUUAAGCUAAAAUAGUAUCUUUAGGGCAUGAUACUCGUGUAAAUUAUUGGGAUGUCAAUUUUUAUGUAAUUUACACAUAAAAGUAAAGAAAAAACAAUUAAAUUUUAUUUAAAAAUAUUAGAUUAUAAGCUAGAUACAUAAAUUAUUAGAUACAAUAACUCAUGUUUAUUAUGGUAAUUUAGUCGCUAUAUAUCAUAAUAAUAAAAUACUAAAAUAAAACUUGUAUUAAAGUUUUAUGAUUAAAGAUGGUCAAAAAACCCAAGAAAAAAAUUAAUAGAAGGAUUUAACUGAUUAACUAUACAAAAUUUUUAUUAAUUUGUAUUUUUUUUUUAAAUAUUGUGAAUUCAUUGCAAUUAGUUUCUAGAAGUAAGGUGGGUUUACAAAAAUAGUGGGGUGCAAAUACCCUUACCCAAAUACUCCAUAAAAAGUGAAAACUAUAUUACCUUUUUUGAUGUACUUCUCUUGAAUUUUUUAUUUCUAAGGAUAAAGUUUAAUUCAUUCCCAAAUAAAAUGAUAAUCUCUAAUUUGCUCUCAAUGUAAACCUCAAUUUAUUCUUCAUUUCCGUCCAAAAGAUGAGGGGCAAAUAAGGAAUGUGUUGAUGGUUUUUUUGUUUUAAUCUUUUUAACAAUAAAUGGGGUAACUUGAUAUUUUUAUACUUUUAGGUGAUAAAUUAAAGAUUUUCAUUUUAAAUUGGGGGCAAAUUAAAAUCUAUCCUAUUUCUAAAGGCACCACGUGAUUUGGCAAAAUAACUAUAAAGAUAUUUUGUUUUUAGAAAAUGUCACACAUGUCUCUUUUGAGAUACACAAACUCUUUUUUAGCUAAAAGAUUGGGAUUUGUGUGAUUAUUUCUGAACCAAAAGGUUUGUGUUUUAAAAAAAAUGAUUAUGUGACUGUUUUGCCUAACCGAGAGGGUCAUUAUUCAAACACCAAUCACAUUUUUGUUUUAAAUCACCCUUUCAUUUAUUCUUUAAGCUUCUUUUUUUUUCCCAAAAAAUGAUGAAUAGAUAUUGAAAAUUUUGUUUUCAUUUUUUUAUUGAAAAAAAUGAAAAACACCAAAUAUUACUGCUUCCUUGUCCAUACUGUUUUUCGUCCUAUAUUACCUUAAUUUUAUAUCGUUUUCUCUAUUUCUAUUUUUAUAGUCCAAUUCUGAAAAUACACUAUUAGACACAUUUUUAAAUUGAAAAACACCAAACAUACUGCAUCAUUUUCAUUAUAAGCAUUAACACCAGACGUACACAUUCUCCAGAUGGGACUAAAAAUGGUGACUCCUUCAGAAAUGAAGUUGUACAAUUAGUUUGAAUUGAGUCGAUACAGAGACGUCUCCAUUGCGUCAUCUAUUUAACUGUCUUGUGCAACCUUAUUCUGUACAAGUAGGAUUCCUCAUUGGCCAUGUAUAUGCAUAGUUCCUGGUUUAUUAACCCCAAAACACCCUCCACUUAAUUCAAGGUCUUAAAGAGAAGUCCAAUCUCACAGGUUCGUUAACAUUUUAAAGGUAAGUUUUAUCUUGUAACAUUCAUACAAAAUUUAUAAUCAACUGGGGCGGAAAUUUUGAAAAUACUAUGAUUAGCACAAGCAUUUCAACAAUAAAGGAUGUAAUAAAAGCUCAUUAAGUUUAAACUUGAAAGGAAAAUUAGGGCAAGGUCAUUUCUUUAAAAAGAAUAAGGCAAGAUGAUGCACGGCAUGAAAUACCUGUGACCAAGCCUCAAAAGAUUCAUCAAGCGCAGUAUUUUGCUUGCCCACGGCAUAAUUACACGUGGCUUCCCAAACAAAUAUCAGCCAUUGUUUGGCUUCCCAAACAAUGCAAGUAUUCAAUUUAACUUCAUAAAUAUCAGCCAGAGCAUAAUUACACUUGGCUCCCUGGAGCUCGGACAAUACGAGUAUUCAAUUUAACUGUACAUAGAUGUGCGGGGUUUUGGUGGUAAGUAAAAAGACGUGCCACUAUCAGUUGAGGAGUGCAUAAGAGGAUUACAUCUAUCAAAUACUAUCCGGCCCCCUCGGCCAAUUCUUCCAUGAAAUUUGUGAGUUCGUGCUAUAGUGCCAUUCCUCGUAGAAGAAUCUGACGGCGGAACAAUACCUGCAGCGUCCAAUUUUUCUGGCACAAGGGCUUUUGUGAACAACAAAACUGGCUCAAGAGGAUCCUGAAACCCCACAGUUACAUUUUCAAAAUGAUGCACUGCUGAUAUUCAGAAAUAAAAUAAUGAUAAAACAUUUUGGAAAGUUUACUUAAAUCAUUUUUCUUUCCAGCCACAGAUAGGUCAAUAAGUCAAAUAUAUGAGGAAAAAUACUAAAGAAACUGACAGAGGGCAGGCAGAAUUAACUACAAAACCACCAGAUUUAUCGCGUUUUUGUCCUGUUAAUUAAUUGUUUUCAAUUAACACGGUAACCCGGCUCGGGUGUUAACUCUGUUUCUGUCAGUGCUCUGUUGAAUAUUUCUGUUUAAAAAUCAGCACUCGCAUGUAAGUAGUAUGGCAGCAGCAAAAUCUCAUGUGUAAUAAUUAGGCUAUAUUAGUUCUGGGUCCAGGAAUCGAGAUAAUCAGAUUUGGUGCAAAAGCUAUAUGUACCAAUUUAUGUAGCCAUGCAUAAUAUAUUCAUUUUUGACUAGCAAAUUCUUCCUUUUCACAACUUUAGGUACAACUUUUCCUUUCCUUUUGAAGGCCCACUCCACUGGCAUAGAGAGUAAAAAGAGUUUCUUAUAAAUAAUUUUAGGAGGAUGCUUCUGCCACGACAAGUAAUACCAUAAACAAAUGAUUUCACCACAUUUCAAGAAAGCAUUUAACUUAUGCCUCAUUUUCAUUCUAGCAAUUUGCUUGCCAUUAGCUGAUUGGAAAAAGUGCAUUUAAGUGAUAGAUUACUGUCAACCUAUAGCACGAAUAGGGGUUAAAACAAAGUAAAUCCCUACCUUUACAUGUCAAAUAAAAGACUUUCAUAAUAUCAAAUAUCAAAACUCAUGUCUAGUAAAGGAUUCCCCAAUGCUGGCUCUCAAAAUUGCUUUUGUUUCAUGGAUGAGAUGAUCGAUUUUGUGGAUAUUCUGCUCAACUUGGAUUAUGACUUGGGUCAGAUCCCAACUUGCUGCAAAGCUCACCUGACUAAAUCUUAGUUGAUUUGCUUUUCCAAACUAAAUCCAAGCAAGUAAGUACAAGAGAUAAAAGCAAAAGUUCAAGCAUCUCAUUUGAGCCUGUCACUAACAAAUGGUCAACGAGCAAUGUCUAGCUAUGACUGAGCAACAGAAUCAAUAAACAGACAGACAAAAAAUAAUAAUCAAGUCAUCUGUCAAAUGCUAGUCCAUGAAAAUCAUAUAUAUAUAUAUGUAUGUAUGUAUGUAUGUAUGUAUAUGUAUAUGUAUAUGUAUGAUCAUUCAUUUCUCAAUCAACCACCAAAUUGAUGUCAACAAAGCCAUGAGGAUUGUCUCACAAGUCUUUCAAUUUCCCUCUCUUUAGGCCAGAGACCAGUAAACCAUUUGAAAUAUGGAUGUGCAAACCAGUAAAUAAAUCAUGAAGUUACACACUAGUCUGCUUUCGCACUCAUUCAGAACUAUCAAUGAUACUUACUGCAGGUACGGUGUAUACAUUAUACUAAAGUGAAGGCUGGAUCAAUAAGAAAUUCAAAAUAUUUCAUCACAUUUGGGGCUUGAUGAUGCCAAAGAAAGACCAUACCAAUUAUGAUGAACAGUAAAAUGUGAACAAGAACAAGCAUACAUUUAAGAAAGCAGAGAAGCAUCAUUAAAAUAAAGUAUUCUUCUUACUAUUCUAUGUUGUUGGAAAAUGGACCAAAAUAAAAAAGAAACCAUAUAUGGUUAACGUCACAACAAGAGUAUUUGUGCAUUUGUACAUCAGAGGAUAUCGGUACGUGCUUGAGACGUACGGCCGAUUCGCGCUUAUUGCGGUGCUGACCGCCUGGUCCCGACGAUUUGUACGCGUCCAUUUCGCAUUCGCGAAACAGCUCAUCGUCGGUCAAUUCUAAGUAAUUCUUCGAAGAAGAAGAAAAAGAAGUUGAAGAACAAUUGUCAUUGGUGCUGUAAAUUGUAAUUGCAAGACAAGAACAAUGGCUGAUAAUUCCCGCGAUACUUGUACGACGGAAAGUUUAUAUUUUUCCUUCCGAGUUGGGGAAUCCGAAGCAGGAAUUGAGCGGCCAACGCCCUCAUCAAUUUCAAUUUCCCUCACCGUGUAUGCGAUGAUGAAAGCAAAGCUUCGUACUAGUAACACAUUCUUAUGGCAGGCCCAGCCCAAUCCAGCCCAGUCCAGCCCAGUCCAGCAAGUGAGCAAUGUUAUUGUUUUAUUAUUUUUGAACUCGUGGUGGCUCUAAAUUAUUUGCAAAAUACUCGUAUAAGGAGAGGGACAUAUUUUAUGCUGGAAUAUUUUCAAUAUAAAUGGUGCUCUAAAAAUGUGUCCGACUGUAAAGAUAUGUCUAAUUAAACAGUGUCAUAAAUAAUAAAAAUGUAUUCUUUUAUUUAAAGAUGCAUCCAUUCACGGUUUCAUGCUUCAAUUUGAAAUGACGAUAGUUUAUUUUGGACCAGUGAUGAUCUAAUUCAAAUUUUGAUUUAAUAACCAUGAUUGAAAUAACCACUUUCUGUUAGUUCUCUUAAAAUUUAUUAAGAAAUCUAUAUUGAAGGCUGUUUCAUCCUUUAGUGUUGUAGAAAAUACACUUUACAUUUUGAAAUUUAAAAUGACCUUAUUUUAAAUAAAAUUUUAAAACAAAUGCCUCUAACUAAAGAAAUUUUUUUAGAAUACAUCAAAAGUACCAUGUUAGCCAUACAACAAGUGAAUCAUGCUAAGACAAGUGUGCAUUGAUUUUAAAAAACUAUCAUUCAAAUGGUGGUUAUAUUGAAUAAAAAUAUGUACAUAUCAUACAUGACACAAAUCACCUCAACCCUUCUGUUGGAUCUGGGGUGAAUCAUGCAAUUUUAUAUCUAAAGCUCAUGACAUAAACUUAAUUCAUGAAUAUAUAACACUAGCCUUGGCCUUUGUUAUAAACAUAUAAUAAUCUAUGUGCCUCAUUCAAAAAUUUAUUAAAAACUUACAUAGUUCAUAUCUCAUUGUACAUACAUACACUUCAAAAAUAUACAUAUAAACAUAAACGUGGUCAAAAUGUAAGUCAUGCAGUAAUGCGUGUCGUGGCCCAACCUCAAUUGAUCAGAAAUUGAACUACACAAAUCCUAUGGAAACCUUAGAGAAAUGGGGUAAAUAUGAAAAUAGUAAGCUUGCGGCUCAAUAAAUGAAUAUAAUUAUAUAUAAAAAUAAAUUAGUGCUUUAGUGCUCGUCAUAAUUGUAUGACAUAACUUUACACUGAACGCUUUACAAAAGCAAACAUGAACUCGUACAUACACACAUGACAAAAUUGCACCAAAUAAUAUACAGGGGAAAUAACUCUCAAUACUCACUGGGAUCAUCAUUGCAUGAGUAACAAGGGGGAAAAACCUCUCAAUACUCAGUAGAAUUUACAACAUCACAAGGGUCGAGUAAUUUAACUCUCAAUACGUACGCGUAGAGCCUAUGGGGAAAGGUACACAUAUGGUGCCUGUCAAUUACAUCUCAUGACUCAGUCAAUCAUAUAAUGUACGUACAUAUAAUCAUAACAUUAUACUAAAUCAUACUAUCAAACAUAAAUGUUUUGUAAAAUACAUAAUAGUAAUAAUAAUAAUCCACUCACAGAUCCUAUUGAUGAAGCACGCACGUGCUUUGCUUUAAGCUAACAGCUUGCUAUUGCUUUGACAAUUAACCCAUGUGCCUCCUUUUAGCUUGCUCGUGCGUCACAAUACAUGCAUUAGAAUUGGUUGUAUUCUCAUGGGUGAAGCAUGAAUGUGCUUUGCUUUAAGCUAACAGCUUGCUAUUGCUUUGACAAUUAGCCACAUGUGACCCGUUUAUAGUUUAGGAAAUAACAAUAUUGAAUAGAAAUAUUCUUAGAAUAUAGUAUUUAUUUUCCAUUCAAACAUUUUCUCAUUUAGGCAAAGGUCACCAAAAAAAAAUUACUUUUUUAAUUUAAAUGUAAAUAUUUAAAAAUCAUAUAUAAGUUAUAAAAAAUAAAUAACUAUUUUUUUUUUAAGUUAGACUUUAUAUGCUUAACAAUCAACCCUAAGGAACAUGAAUAAGAGCUACUAAAACAAAAAAAAAAAGAAUAAUUUUGAAACUAAAUACAAUUAAUUGAGAGAUGAGGACGGAUAAGAUAAAUUCAGAGAUAAAAAUUAAAAUAUCACCCUACUUAUUGCUGCCAGUUAUGAGCAUUAAAGCACAGAAGCACCUGUGUUGAAAAGUAUGGUGUUCGUGUGGAAUUUUCAGCUAAAAGUCUACAAGGCAGUUGAAUUAAUCAAUCAUCGUGGAGUGCACGGUGGUUGGACAAUGAGAUGAAAUUGAAAAAUUAUCACGGAAAUUGAAGGAAGGGGCAUGGCAUCGAUUUAUUCUACAGAGUCACGCACAUUUGGUUCAAUAAUUGUUUUCAUCCGAAUCAAAAUCUCUCUCUCAUCAAUUCAACUGUUUCUGUUUAUUAUGGCUUCUUCUUAUCGAAACAACAAGAAGUAUGAUGUUUUUGUUAGUUUCAGAGGAGAGGAUACCCGCGACAACUUUACUAGCCAUCUCUAUUCUGCUCUGUGUCGACAAAAUAUCCAAACUUUCAUUGAUGACCAACUUAAUAGAGGAGACGAAAUUUCGGAGUCACUUGUGAAUGCAAUUGAAGCAUUAGCCAUUUCAGUUAUCGAGCCUGUUUGGGAGUGUGGUGAGGUAGCUGGACUGUUAAAGCCCAACUACUAAGGUGUUUGGUAACACUUGUAGUUGAGUUUUAGUAGCUUAGUAGAUUUUGUUUUUCAACUUCUACUCUACAGCUAUAGCUUUUACUUCACAGCAGCUGCAGCUUAAAAGUUACAGCACCUCACUAUCAAACACACUCAUCUUCUUGUCAGAAGGGUAUGCAUCAGCCAUUUAAGUUACCCAAAAUUCAACCGAAGAUCCAAACGCAAGUUUCAAACUAAACCAACCCAAAGUUUGGGCAAGAGUCCAACGCAACCCAACUAAAACCAUUUUAAUUUAAUUUUAGUUUGGGUUGACUUAGGCUUUGAUAAAUUCACAUGUUGUAUACCAUAAUUAAAAUAAAGUAUCAUUUGUCAUACAUUUUAUACAUUAAACACAUAGUGAAGGAAAAAAGUUUCAAAAAUUCAGUGGCGGCAAACAUCCUCUCUGCAAUCUUUGUGGGCAACGCAUACAUGGUAUCUUCACUAAUAAGUGUUGAAUCUUUAGCUUCAAAGGAAAGAAACUAAAAAGGGUAGGGAUAUUUCCACCCCAUUACUUUUGUAAAUUUACCCACUUCUAGAAAAUAAUUAUAAUGAAUUCACAAUAUUUUUUUAAAAAUACAAAUUAAUAAAAAUUUUAUAUAGUUAAUCAAUUAAAUCCUUCUAUUAUUUUUUUACUAGAUUUCUUUGAGUAUAUUUGAUCAUAAACUUGAUAUAAAUUUUACUUUACUAUUUUUGUAUUAUGAUAUAAAAAGGACAAAUUGUACAAUAAACACGGGUUAUUGUAUCCAAUAAUUUAGGUAUUUAAUUAUGUGAACUAAUAUUUUUAAAUGAAAUUUAACUAUUUUUUCACUAUCUUACGUGUAAAUGAUGUAAAUUUGACAAGCUAAUAAUUUAUAUGAGUAUUGUGCCAUAAAGACAUUAUGUUUGUUUAAUUAAUGUUUUACAAUCAUACUAAUAAAGUAGUAUUAGAAAUAAUGAAUUUGGUAUAAAAUUAGAAAAUAUUGAAGUUAAAGAAUUAGAUUUACCUUAUAAGGAUAAAUAAUCAAUUUAGACUUAUGUCAAAUCAAUCUUUAUGAUCAAAUAUAAUAAAAAAAUUUAAGUCACAAAAAGUAAAUUAAAAUAGAUUUGUUAAUUUGUUCUCCAAAGUUCAAAAUGAGUAAAAGGAAUUAGGCUUCGUAGUUUAGGAAAUAAAUUUACUGAAUAGAAAUAUUUUUAGUAUAUAUUAUUUAUUUUUCAUUCAAACAUUUUCUCAUUUCAGCAAAGGUCACAAAAAUUUACUUAUUUAAUUUAAAUGUAAAUGUCUAAAAAUUAGAUAUAAGUUAUUAAAAAAAAUUAAUAUUUUUUUAAAAGUUAGACUUCAUAUGUUUAACAAUCAACCCUAAGGAUAAUGAAAAAGAGCUAUUAAAACAAAAAAAAAAGAAUAAUUUUGAAACUGANNNNNNNNNNNNNNNNNNNNNNNNNNNNNNNNNNNNNNNNNNNNNNNNNNNNNNNNNNNNNNNNNNNNNNNNNNNNNNNNNNNNNNNNNNNNNNNNNNNNNNNNNNNNNNNNNNNNNNNNNNNNNNNNNNNNNNNNNNNNNNNNNNNNNNNNNNNNNNNNNNNNNNNNNNNNNNNNNNNNNNNNNNNNNNNNNNNNNNNNNNNNNNNNNNNNNNNNNNNNNNNNNNNNNNNNNNNNNNNNNNNNNNNNNNNNNNNNNNNNNNNNNNNNNNNNNNNNNNNNNNNNNNNNNNNNNNNNNNNNNNNNNNNNNNNNNNNNNNNNNNNNNNNNNNNNNNNNNNNNNNNNNNNNNNNNNNNNNNNNNNNNNNNNNNNNNNNNNNNNNNNNNNNNNNNNNNNNNNNNNNNNNNNNNNNNNNNNNNNNNNNNNNNNNNNNNNNNNNNNNNNNNNNNNNNNNNNNNNNNNNNNNNNNNNNNNNNNNNNNNNNNNNNNNNNNNNNNNNNNNNNNNNNNNNNNNNNNNNNNNNNNNNNNNNNNNNNNNNNNNNNNNNNNNNNNNNNNNNNNNNNNNNNNNNNNNNNNNNNNNNNNNNNNNNNNNNNNNNNNNNNNNNNNNNNNNNNNNNNNNNNNNNNNNNNNNNNNNNNNNNNNNNNNNNNNNNNNNNNNNNNNNNNNNNNNNNNNNNNNNNNNNNNNNNNNNNNNNNNNNNNNNNNNNNNNNNNNNNNNNNNNNNNNNNNNNNNNNNNNNNNNNNNNNNNNNNNNNNNNNNNNNNNNNNNNNNNNNNNNNNNNNNNNNNNNNNNNNNNNNNNNNNNNNNNNNNNNNNNNNNNNNNNNNNNNNNNNNNNNNNNNNNNNNNNNNNNNNNNNNNNNNNNNNNNNNNNNNNNNNNNNNNNNNNNNNNNNNNNNNNNNNNNNNNNNNNNNNNNNNNNNNNNNNNNNNNNNNNNNNNNNNNNNNNNNNNNAUUAAAUAAAUAUAGUACUAUUAUUUUUAAAAUAAAUAUAAUAAUAUUAUAUUAUUAAAUAAAGAUAGCAUAUAUUUAUUAAUUCUCUAUUAAUAUAAUAAUAUUAUUUUUAAGUAAUUUUAACUUAUAAUCAAUGUAAAUUAUUAUUUAGUUAAAUAUAAUAAUAUUAUUUAAAUAAAUAUAAUUAUAAAUUAUUUUAUUUUAUUAAAUUAAAUUAAAAACAAAGGGUAGAAAAGGGAGAGGUGGGAGUGGGAAUUCAUGGGAGUCCCACUCCCACUCUUCACUCCAAAAAUGGGUGGGGUCCACGGAAUGGGAUUCCCAAUCCCUCUCUAUUCUGUUGAAGUAAAUACUGGAGUGGGAAGAAUCCACACUCCUCACUCUCACUCCAGAAAGUAGACACUACCUCAAUCAUCGUGGAGGGCACGGUGGUUGGACAAUGAGAUGAAAUUGAAAAAUUAUCACGGAAAUUGUAGGAAGGGGCAUGGCAUCGAUUUAUUCUACAGAGUCACGCACAUUUGGUUCAAUAAUUGUUUUCAUCCGAAUCAAAAUCUCUCUCUCAUCAAUUCAACUGUUUCUGUUGAUUAUGGCUUCUUCUUCUCGAAACAACAAGAAGNNNNNNNNNNNNNNNNNNNNNNNNNNNNNNNNNNNNNNNNNNNNNNNNNNNNNNNNNNNNNNNNNNNNNNNNNNNNNNNNNNNNNNNNNNNNNNNNNNNNCGCUAGAGCUACUUUCGACAAAAUCUCUAGAUAUUUUGAAGGUUCUUGCUUCCUUGAAAAUGUUAGAGGAGAAUUACAAAGACCGGGAGGAUUAGCUUGCCUGCGACAAAAACUUCUUUCAAAUUUAUUGAAGGAUAAAAAUGUGAUUCUUGAUAUUGGCCUCAAUUUUCGAAGGCUCAGCCGCAUGAAGGUUCUGAUUGUUUUUGAUGAUGUGACUUGCUUCAGCCAAUUGGAAUCUUUAAUUGGAAGUCUUGAUUGGUUGACGCCUGUGAGUCGAAUCAUAAUAACCACCAGAAAUAAACAAGUGCUUAGAAAUUGGGGGGUGAGGAAAAUAUAUGAGAUGGGGCCAUUAGAGUAUCAUCACGCUCUUGAGCUUUUUAGUCGACAUGCCUUCAAACGAAACCAUCCUGAUGUUGGUUACGAGAAACUUUCAAGCAAGGUAAUGAAAUAUGCUCAAGGUGUUCCUUUAGCUAUUAAAGUUUUGGGUUGCUUUCUAUAUAAAAGGGAAAAAGAAGUCUGGGAAAGUGCAAUAAAUAAAUUGCAAAGUAUCCUCCACCCAAGUAUCCUAGAGGUAUUAAAAAUAAGUUACGAUGGUUUGGACGAUAAGGAGAAAAAUAUUUUCCUUGAUGUUGCUUGUUUCUUUCAAGGCGAGGGUGUAAAUCUGGUAGUGAAAUUCUUUAAUGCAAGCGGUUUCUACCCAGAAAUAGGAAUAAGUAUUCUCGUCGAUAAAUCUCUCAUUGUUAUUGAUUCAUACAGCAAGAUAACAAUGCAUGAUUUACUACAAAAAUUGGGUCGGGAAAUUGUUCGACAAGAAUCAAUUAAUCCUGAAAACCGCAGUAGGCUGUGGCAUCAUGAGGAUACCUAUGAAGUUCUUACACAUAAUACGGUAAUCAUUUUGUUGUGGAUUAUUAUUUUGGAAUAUUAUAGCAUUUACAAACUUGAUAUAAUAUAUAUAUAUACGUGCUUGAACCGAUGAGCCUUGGAAUUAAUAGCAGUGUGACAAUGAUUAGGAAAAAAAAACAAUAAUGGUUAAAUGAUGUAACAAUAAAUUAUAAAUGCCAUGACAACUUGUGUGAUCGUUUGUAAGCCUAAUUUAUAUAUCAACUUGUGUACUAUACAUACAGAAUUUUUAUGUUAAAUAUUACGUGUGAUAUUAUGUUUCUUUGUGCAUUUGCAAUUAAGAGUUUAGCUGCCGAGCAAUAACCAUAAACAUGGAUUAUUGAAAUUUGAUUCCUGUAAUGGCAGAGAGCCCCACUCCUAUCCCACCUCAACUCUACUCAAGAAUAAAUAAACGUUGAAUUAAUAACUAAGCUACCUCUAAUCGUGAAUUAAUGACAAACUUACCCCAAAAAAUUGUCUUGGUUGGGUUGAGGUGCGAUUCAUUGGUGGAAUAUACAUAUCAUUUUUCAUUUAAUUUUAACUUUAUUCUUUUUUUUUUUAAAUUAAAUUUUAGGGGACAGAAAAAAUUGAGGGCAUUUGUUUGGAUAUGUCAAAAGUAAAAGAUAUCCAUCUAAAUCCCAAUACUUUCACAAAGAUGCGUAAGUUGAGAUUUUUAAAAUUCUAUAGCUCAUCAUUCAAUGGAGAGAACAAAUGUAAGGUGUCUUAUUUGCAAGACCCCGGAUUUGCUGAAGUGAAGUAUUUUUACUGGCAUGGAUACCCGUUGAAGUCAUUGCCUUCAAACCUUAAUGCAGAGAAGCUUUUGUUUCUUGAACUGCCUGGUAGCGACAUUGAACAACUUUGCGAUGGUGUGAAGGUAUGUAUAUCUUGAUAUAUAUGUGCAAUCUUUCAAUAAUAACGUUAAAUUAUCAUACAUGGUAAUGAUUUUGUGUUGGCUUCUUUUUGAUCGAGCAGCGUCAUGGUAAGUUAAACCAGAUAAUCCAUGCUGCCUGCAAGAAGCUAAUUCCCAAAAUUCCAAGCCCCACGUUGAUUCCACAUCCGAACAAUCUAGUUGCCUUGAAUCUAACAGGUAGCAAAAGCCUGAAAAGUCUUCCAGCUAGAAUAUUUAAUUUGGAAUUUCUUAUCGAACUUGAUCUUUCGGGUUGUUCAAAACUGAAGAGGCUUCCAGACAUCUCAUCUGGUAACAUAAGCCGGCUAUAUUUAAGUGGAACUGCAAUUGAAGAACUGCCCUCAUCAUUUGAGCUUCUACUUAGGCUUUCGUGGCUGGACCUUUCAGAUUGUAAAAUGCUUAAGAGUCUCCCAAGCAGCCUAUGUAAGUUGAAAUCUCUUGGAGUUCUUGAUCUCCAUGGUUGCUCAAAUCUUCAGAGAUUGCCUGAACGUCUUGGCCAGUUAUCGUCGCCAAUAUUGUUGAAUCUAGUGAAAACCAAUAUUGAGAAGAUACCAAAAAGCAUUUUCCAACUUUUAGUGUUGCGACGCCUGAUCUUAAAUUAUUGUGAGGGGCAUUAUGAAUCCUUAUCAAAGCCUCCAUUCCUUGUACGAUGGUUAGAUGCCGAUCAUUGCCCGAUACUGCAAUCAUUCAUAGGUUCAUUCUCUAAGUUCUGAAUCUUAUAAGCAGUGUUUUUUGACCAAAGCAAUAACUUUAAAUUGGAAGGUAAUUCUACUGCAGGAAUUAUUGAAGAUUCUCAGAGAACUGAGCAUAUGGGCCAUGUGGCAGCUGCCCGUUGGAAAGAAGUACGGGAAAAGGUGUGUCAUAACUCUCUCUCCUUACAAUUUAUACAACAUUUUUUUGUUUAAAAUUAUGAUUUUUUUGGUAUAGAGAGGUUGUCCCAAGGAAGGCCAUUUCGUACUAGCUGGGAAUGAAAUUCCAAGGUGGUUUAAUUUUCAAAGUGUGGGAUCUUUUAUAACCUUGGAGAUGCCCCCUGAUUUCUUCAAUAACAAUAGAGUACUGGGCUUUGCAUUUAGUGCUAUUUUAGCAUUUUCAGACCGUCAUGUAGAUUGUGGCAGAUGGUUUUCAUUUUCUUGUGAGUUCAAAGUAAAAACCACCAAAGAUUGUGAUCUGCAUGACACACGGUUAUUUCAGAGCAGAGUUAAUUAUGUAGAAUCAGAUCACUUGCAUUUGGGGUACUAUCUGUUCUGUGAAGAGGAUUUCAAUGGUUUUUGGAAAUGCAAUUGCAUUCCUGAGGCAGUUCACUUUAAUGUUUUUCCACCUUUGGAGUGCCAAUGCUGCGGGGUGAAAAAAUGUGGGAUCCAUUUACUUCACACCCCAGAUUCUACGAAUUCAAUGGAAGAUCCAAGCAGAUGUUUCAACUGUAACUAAGAAGACUGAUAUUUUCAUGCAUGUAUUUUUAUUGUAACUGAUGCAGCAUAAAACAUGAGGGCCCAAAUAGUGGAUUACAGUUGGUGUGAUUUAUUAGUGGAUUAUACUUGGUGUGUUUUAUUAAGUGCUAUCAGUGGAUUACAGCUGGUGUGUUGAGUGUUAUUAGUGGAUUACAGUUGGUGUGUUUUAUUGAGUGAAAUGUAAUAGGUGGAGCUGUGUAUGAGUACUAUAAAUAUGUGCUAAAUCCAUUGCAAAAAUCAUCCAAUCUUCAAUCAAAAUUUGAGUUUUCUCAUUUGAAAUUCUAAUUCAGAAUUUGUUAUACAUUUUUUUUCUCUUCGUGAAAACACAAGUUAGAGCGACAUCUAGCAAACCGCUGCGUCAAUUGGUAUCAGAACCUUCCUCUGUAUCAGGCGGAGCUUUCCUGGUAGCCAUAUCUUUCGUAUCCAUCCAUUCUCCAUCACCAUUUUCCAUUAAACAAAAAAAAAAUCAAAUUGAAACCCUAGACCUAGCCGCCGCCACUGUAUUUACCACCACUUCGCAAUAUCCAAACCACCUAUCUCCACUUCGCCAAAAAAAAAAAUCAAAGGCGUGAGCAUAUUGCAUCUUGUGUCUUGUGCAUAGAUUUAAAAAAAAAAAAGUGUGUGAGUCGAAAAGAAAAAGCAACGUGAGUGUGUGUAUUUUGUGAAGUGUGCAUAUUGAACAAAAAAAAAGAAAAAAAGAGAGGGUGUGUGUUUUGUGCUUUGUAGUAUCAAAAAAAAAAAAAAAAAAAAAAGAGAGACGUGAGGAGAAGUGACAAGUUCGAGGCUUGUGUGUGAACUCCGUGAGGUUUUGUGCAUUGAAUUAAAAAAAAAAAAAGUGUGUUUUGUGCUUUGUGAAGGGAGUAUUAAAAAAAAAAAAAAAAAGAGAGACGUGGGGAGAGAGAAAAGUAAGGAGAAAAAAAAAAAAGAGAUGAGUGGGUAUUAAAUUUCCUUGAGGAAUAUUGGGCUGUGUUGGUUCUGCUCCAACUUCAACUCGCCUUUGUUGUUGGAAAUUAUUGUUUUGCCCGCCAAGGAAGUGUUGAGUUAAAUUCGUAAGCAUGACUUCUAAAUUUUGUAAUCUAGUUUCAAGUGCAACAACUGAUUCUUUUGUUGCGAAUGUACCCAUAGCUUGUUGGAUUCUUCGUCUGACAUUUUUUUUCUUUUUUUCUUCUUUUUUUCUUCUUUGUUUUUUCUUUGCUUUUUUUUGCUUCUUUUUUCUUUUUUUUUCACAAUUCAAGUAAAUAAACAAAUAUACAUACAAAACAAAACUAACACAAUUCUGAUUUUUUUUUAAUUAUAGAAUAAACUACCCAAAAAAACCUCUCUUUUUGUUAAUUAAUUUUUUUUCACUCGCAAUUAUUCCUCCUAAAUUCUAUCCCUUUUCUGGAAAAAAAAUCUAAACUCGCACUCAAACCUUUUUCUUUUUUUUAUCACACAAUAUUUUUUUUUUCACUCUUGUGUAAUCUCUCUUCCCCACUCACACACACAUUACUCUUUACACCUUACAAUUCCCAAUACUUCUCUCCACCCUCACGUUUCAUUCACACACCUUUUUUUUUUUUACUCACGCCUCCUUUUUUUCUUUUUACAGUUUUUUUUCUCUUUUAAUAAAACACCCACAACUCUCAAAAUUUAUGCACAAAACACUCACACUUUUUUUUUUUUUAAGAUUCACGCCUAUCUCUCUCUCUUUUUUCAAUUUCGUGUAACAACAAAAUACACAACGCACUUAUUAUUAUUAUUUUUUUCAAAACUCACUGCCCCUUUUUUUCUUUUAAUUCCCUGCACAUGCAUACACCUUACAAGAUGCACACACCCACGUUUUUUUUUUAAUUCCCUGCACAUGCACAACACCUUUUUUUUUUUUUCAAAACUCACACCAUUUUUUUUAAAAAUUCCUUACACUUGCACAAAGUACAACACACUCAGACUUCACCGGAAUCAACUUUUCAACGAAGAUUCUAGUGAAGAUGAUGAAGGACCGGUGCCACCAGAAAAUAACCAAGUGUCUCGGCAAAUUGACUACCGAAUGAAAAUUGAAAUUCCACAAUUUGAUGGCCUAUUCACGAUCGAGGAAUUUCUUGAUUGGCUAGCUAAAGUUGAAAAAUUCUUUGACUAUUGGGAGACUGAAGAGCACAUGAAAGUCAAAUUGGUGGCCUAUCGACUCAAAGGAGGUGCGCUUGCUUGGUGGGAUCAAUUACAAACAACACGAAUUCGACAAGGAAAGCACAAAGUUCGAACUUGGCAACGCAUGAGAAAAUUAAUGAUUGACCAUUUUCUUCCUCCAGAUUAUGAGCAGACACUUUUCAGUCGGUAUCAACAUUGUCGGCAAGCCAACCGAAUAGUACAUGAGUAUGUUACAGAAUUUCACAAGCUUGUUGCAUGCGUGGAUGUUCGUAAGACUGAAAAUCAAAAGAUUUCGAGGUUCAUUGAUGGACUUUGCACCAAUAUUCAAGAUGAAGUAUUCAAGCAGUCGCAUCACACUCUGUCUAGUGCAAUUCAACUGGCCUUGAAGAUUGAAGCACAACUGAACAAAAGAGGCACCCGUAUUCAGGUUUCUUCACAAUCUUCUACACCACCACAAAAGCCUGAUUGGAAUAAACGAAAGACAAUAACCAGACCACGUGAAGAAAUGCCUAGGCCAAAUUUCUCCCAGAACCAACCGGCGGGACGAUUACAAAAUGAACCAGUGAACAAAUCCAAAUCAACUAAUCCCUAUGCAGUCCUAAGGGGAAACAAAUGUUAUCGUUGUGGUCAGACGGGUCAUUACUCUAUUCAGUGUCGACAAAGUAAACUGGUCAACUUGGCCACACAUGAUGAUGACGUUGAAGAAGAGGAGUAUCCGGAGGAUGAUGAGUAUGAAAAAGAAGACGCAUUGAAGGAAUUCACCUAUGAAGAUGAAGGAGUAUCAUUAGUAAUAAGACGACUAAUCUAUACCCCGAAGAAAGAUGAGAGCAUUCAACGACAUAACAUCUUGAAAACACGGUGCACAGUCAACCAACGGGUAUGUGAUCUUAUCAUUGAUCGUGAAAGUAGUGAGAACAUAGUAUCCAAGACCAUGGUAGAUAAAUUGUAAUUACCAACUCAAUCACACCCAUUUCCAUACCGCAUUAGGUGGAUUAAAGAUGUCAGCGAGACAAAGGUGACCGAACAAUGUCGUGUUCCUUUCUUUAUCGGUUAGUAUAAAGACGAGGUAAUGUGUGAUGUUGUUGAUAUGGAUGCUUGUCAUAUGUUAUUUGGUCGUCCUUGGCAAUUUGAUUUAAAUACAGUGCAUAAUGGCAAAAAUAAUACUUAUACAUUUUAUAAAGACAACAUGAAGUUUAUUCUGGCCUCAAUGAAGCAUUCUAACACUCCAACAUGCUCAAAGACCAGGAACAACCUUCUUUUGGUGCCCAAAGAUGUUCUUAUCUCACAAAGUGUACCAGAUUCAAUUCAACCUUUAUUGGUAGAAUUCACUGAUGUUGUUCCCGAUGAAUUACCAAUUGGAUUACCUCCACUUAGAGAUAUCCAGCACCACAUUGAUCUUAUUCCUGGAGCAAACUUACCAAACUUACCACACUACCGCAUGAGUCCUAAAGAAUAUGAGAUUCUGGAUGAACAAGUUGAGGAUCUUCUCAAGAAAGGCCUGGUUCAAGAAAGUAUGAGCCAUGUAGCUGUACCCACACUCCUGACUCCAAAGAAAGAUGGAAGCUGGAGAAUGUGCAUAGAUAGUCGAGCCAUCAAUAAGAUUACGGUAUGAUAUCGUUUUCCUAUUCCUCGAUAAAGAUAACGUGCUUGACAGAUUAGGAGGAUCAAAAUUAUUUUCUAACAUUGAUCUGCGGAGUGGGUACCAUCAAAUUCGGAUUUGCCCUGGUGAUGAGUGGAAAACAUCGUUUAAAACUCAUGAGGGUCUGUACGAGUGGCUAGUUAUGCCCUUUGGUCUAUCGAAUGCUCCAAGCACUUUCAUGAGGUUAAUGAAUCAGGUAUUUCAACAUUUCAUUGGAAAUUUUGUUGUUUAUUUUGAUGACAUCUUAAUUUACAGCCAUAGCGAGAAGAUCAUAUUCAACAUUUGAAGGAAGUAUUUGAGGUGUUACGAAAGAACAAGUUGUAUGCCAAUCUUAAAAAAUGUAGCUUUAUGAAAGACAACUUAAUUUUUUUGGGCUUUGUUGUGAGUUCAGACGGAAUCAAAGUCGAUCAAGAAAAUGUGAAAGCUAUUCGAGAAUGGCCGACACUGAAGACAAUUUCAGAUGUUCGAAGCUUUCAUGGUCUUGCAACCUUUUACAGACGAUUUGUGAAGGACUUCAGCACCAUAGCUGCACCACUUACAGACUGUUUAAAGCAAAAACAAUUUGUUUGGACAAAAACAACAGAACAAAGCUUUACGGUCUUGAAGGAGAAGCUUACAAAUGCACCAGUGCUUACACUUUCUGACUUUAACAAGAUUUUUAAAGUCGAUUAUGAUGCUUCUGGAGUGGGAAUUGGAGCUGUUCUAUCUCAAGAAAUGAAGCCAAUUGCCUUUUUCAGUGAGAAGCUCAGCGGAGCCAGAAAGAAAUGGUCAACAUAUGAGCAAGAAUUAUAUGCAAUUGUUCGCACUUUGCAAUAAUGGGAGCCAUAUCUAAUUCAAAAAGAAUUCAUCAUACACACGAAUCAUCAAGCUCUCAAGUAUCUCAACAAUUCCUCUAAAGCCAAUCGAAUGCAUGCGAGAUGGAUUGCCUAUAUUCAGAAGUUCACUUUCUCUCUCAAACACAAGUCAGGCCAAUUGAACAAAGUCGUUGAUGCACUGAGUCGUCGAGUUAUGUUAUUGACUAGUGCUCAUAAUGAAAUAAUUGGUUUUGAUUAUUUGAAAAUUUUGUAUGCAGAUGACGAGGAUUUUCAUGAAGAAUGGCAAAAGUGCACUAGCGGAGUUGCAAGUAAACACCAAUUACAUGAUGAAUUUUUAAUCUUUGAAGAUCGUCUAUGUAUUCCAUGAGGAUCACUAAGAGAACACAUCAUUCAAGAGCUACAAGCUGGAGGUUUAGGGGGUCACAUGGGACGUGACAAAACCAUUUCAUUGGUAGAAGUUUGAUAUUUAUGGCCUCAUCUCAAACAUGAUAUUGAGAAAUUUUUCAAACGUUGUUAUACAUGCUAGACUGCAAAAGGACAAGCUCAGAAUACUGGGUUAUACAUGCCACUUCCUAUUCCAAAUGCACAUUGGGAAGACUUGUCCAUGAAUUUCAUUUUAGGAUUACCACGAACACAGAAAGGUUUAGAUUCUAUCUUUGUUGUGGUAGAUCGUUUUUCUACAAUGGCUCAUUUUAUUCCAUGCAGGAAAACUUCGGAUGCUACCUACAUUGCCCAACUAUUCUUUCGAUAAAUUGUUCGUCUACAUGGAUUGCCAAAGACAAUAGUUUCUGAUCGAGAUAGCAAAUUUCUUAGUCAUUUUUGGCGUACUUUAUGGAAAAGACUUGAUACAACUUUACAAUUUAGUAGCACUUAUCAUCCACAAACGGAUGGGCAGACUGAAGUCACCAAUCGCACACUGGGUAAUAUCUUGCAAUGCUUGGUUAAAGAAAACCCAAGACAAUGGGAGAAUGUUUUACCACAAGCUGAAUUUGCUUACAACAAUGUGCCUAAUCGUUCUAGUGGUAAAUCUCCAUUUGAAGUUGUUUAUAUUCAUCCUCCAUUGCACACUUUAGACUGGGUUCCUUUACCAAAGCUUCCUGGAAUGAGCGUCAUUGCUAAUCAUCUAAUCGAUAAAGUGAUCGAUGUACAUGGAGAGGUAAAAAAUAAGUUGGAAGAAUCUACCGCAAAAUACAAGGCCAUUGCUGACAAGCACAGAAGAUUCAAGUCAUAUAAAGUGGGUGAUUAUGUCAUGGUACAUCUGCGCAAAGAACGAGUUCUUGUAUGAGAAUACGAUAAGCUCAAACAGAAGAAAAUUGGUCCCUUUCGCAUCCUUCAAAAGAUUAAUGAUAAUGCCUAUAUCAUCGAUCUCCCCGAACAAUAUGCCAUUUCUAACACUUUCAAUGUUCAAGAUUUGUACGAGUAUCAUGGUCCAGAACAAAUUCCUUGACUAACUCAAGGACGAGUUGUCUUUAAGAGGGGGAGAAACUGAUGCAGCAUAAAAUAUGAGGGCCCAAAUAGUGGAUUACAGUUGGUGUGAUGAGUGUUAUUAGUGGAUUAUAGUUGGUGUGUUUUAUUAAGUGUUAUUAGUGGAUUACAGCUGGUGUGUUGAGUGUUAUUAGUGGAUUACAGUUGGUGUGUUUUAUUGAGUGGAAUGUAGUAGGUAGAGUUGAGUAUGAGUACUAUAAAUAUGUGCUAAAUCCAUUGUAAAAAUCAUCCAAUCUUCAAUCAAAAUUUGAGUUUUCUCGUUUCAAAUUCUAAUUCAGAAUUUGUUAUACCUUUUUUUUUCUCUUCGUGAGAACGCAAGUUAGAGCGACAUCUAGCAAACCGUUGUGUCAGUAACAAAACAUUCGAGGGAUAACUAUUAAUAAUAGGAGAAAAUGCUAAAAUCAGUUCUUGGAACAAAACAUUCAUGUAAUAACUUUGGAGGAAUCAGGUGCAUGCAAUUACCUUCGAGGGAUUUGGUGCAAGCAACACAAAUUCACACUAGAGCAUAGAACAUUACCUUAUUAGAUGAAGAGUUUAACAUAUGAAAAUCACAUGAUUUAUAAUGUAAAAUUCCAAAAUUAUUGGCCUUCUUUCCUGCAUUGUGCACACAAUAACUCAAAACACAUCUAUUUGGUUAGAAGAGUACAUGACAUAUAAACCAGUAAAAAAAACUCACUCGCUAGCGAUGUGGGAUAUUAUAAGACGCGCGGCAAGUUCUUAUUGGUGGAGUAAUGUUGUGGUCCCAUAUCGAUGCCAAUGAAAACAUGCCACUCAUCAUGUUGUGCACUAAAUCAACGCUUAUGUAUAUAAUGCAAUCACAUUUGAAAUUUUCUACUUUCUUAAGUCUAAAUUAUUGUAUGUGGGAAAGUUUCAUCAUGUAGAAGCAAAAGCCAUAAAGUGGGAACAGUUAAAACACCAUCAAAUCUUAUAUAUUUGAAAAAAACAUAUUUGUCUACCAAUUAAAAAAAAAGAACAGGACAGGUGUCAUUUGCACUCAACUCAUUUGUGUUGUGAAUCCAUUUGCUUAAACAUGUAUCCACUUUUUCAAGUAUCUACACCAAUUUCAUAUUCAGAAUGGUGUAUUUAAUUCUAUAGUUGACAUGGUAUCAUCUAUGGCUAGAAUUUAGCUUUAAAAAACUAGCUUGUAAGGAAAGGAUUAAAGAUGCCCAUGAACUUAUAUUUCUAUUUAGAUUACUGUAUCUUUUUCAUGUGAAAAAUUGAAUCCUAUCAUUCACUUAUCAUUAACAUAAGCAAUAUAGAUAUUAAAUCAUUGUUCUUUAUUAUUGUGCAAAAUUUAACUUUUUAUAGAAUAAUUUGAUAGAUUUCUUAAAUCAAUUUGGAGCUUCUACAACUUGUCUGGGAUCAGUUUCUCCUACAUUCCUUUCGGUGCCAAAAGGUAUUCAAGUGGUUGAAGAAGAAUUGAUCCAUACAAUAUAAGUGCAAGAGUUGUUUGUCUUUUUACAAUAGGAAUAAUAUAUAAUGCAUCGAUACUUGCUGAUGAGAAAGUAAAUUUCUCAGAAAUUAAAUGUUUCAGCCAACCAAGGAAGCAGCUUUUCAUGGACCAACUCAGGCCUGUCGUCAUGGGGGCAAUUUCCUACUCCUUCCAAUGCAAUUAACUUCACAACUGAGAGUUAAGAAGGAGGAGAUGAGAAGUAUUCACCAACAGGUCCAUCGAGGGGGGUGAAUGGAUCCUCAUUACCCCAUAAGACUAGUACAUGUAUAUAGAUUGAUGGCAUCAGUUGCACUGGGUUCGGCCCUGGUGAGCCUCUCGCAAUCGAAACAAAUGCAUCAAGUGCCCCGUCAUCAUUGGCGGGUUCUCGUAUGUUCUGCAAUUAUGAGGUCAAUUCAUGAAUUCUGAGUAGCCAUUUUUGUAAGAGGUUAAAAUGGCACAUAAGUGGAGAAUAUUAGUACAUCUACCAGUGUUUCAUCCACAGAUUCCUUAUUUCCAUAGAUGGACAGUAAAAUAUUGCUCUGUGUUACCCUGCAGCACGAAUAUAUACACACGUGGAGUUUUUUAGUUUUGGCUCUAGUGUUUUAGGAUAAUGAACAAUGGACUGAAUAGAGAGAAGAGAACAACUUUGUUUCACACACUCAAAGAUUGCAUAAGUAAUUGGCCUUUGUUUCAACAAAAAAUCAGGGAACCAAAGCAAUGGUUACACUAGUUUCAUUCUCCAAUCAUCAACAAUUGCCUUGUUGUUCAUGCCACCAUCACAAUUCAACAGAACAAGCCCUCGAACAAGUGUUUGACUGGAUUCUUAUGGUAGAAAAUAUAGUAGGUUUACUGCAAAAUAUAGAUACCAAAAAGGCUAAUUAGGUGCAAGUGUUUCUUUGUGAGCAAGAUGAAGAAGAAGAAGUUAAAAUAAGUAUACCUGAGGCAGCAAUAACACAAGCUAGGCUUCCAACAGAAUUACCUAUAAGCACAGUUGGCUUCUGAACAACUUCAUCCAAGAAAUCCAAUAUUAGAUGUAUCAGUGAGCCUCACUCAAGUUUGCAAGAAAAAUCACUAAAGGUCAAGCAAUUGACGAAGUAGGUGCGGGGAAGAUCCAACUUCUGGCUCGGGAACAUGCAUAGCCAGGGCCAGGGGCGGAGCUUGGGGAAAAUUCUACGGGGGCUAAAUUUAAAAUUCCAACUUUUAUGUUAUUAUAUAUUAGUGGCUUAGUGGGCUUUAGUGGACUUGGCUAAUUUGUUUCUUAUUUUUUUAUGCUAUCAUUAGUGGGCCUAACAGUAAAAUUACAAUAUUAUCUAAUAUAUAAACUUUAUACAUUUAUUGUGCAAGGGCUAGUAUGGACAUUUUACACUAACUUUUCAUAUUUUAUUUAAAAACCCUAAAAAAUUUUUUAAAAUUCUACGAGGACUAUGGCAUCUUCUAUUCUUAUAUGGCCUCCACCCCAUGCCUCCAUGGUAUGUGGAAACCCAGCUGGCUUAUCUGAAGCACCAGAUAACCAGGCCUGCUCCUUCCCUGGUUCUACCUCCAUGAGACUGACCAUGACAAAUCUUUUUAUUUAUUUAUUUAUGAGGCUUAUUCCACUAUUAUAUGAAAAUUUUACUGAUAUUCCUCAAAAAUCAAAAUAAUCUGCCUGAAACGAAUAUCAAGUUCUUUACUAAAAUACUCCAUGUCAUGGUGUCUCCACCCAAUAAGUUUUGCAAACCCAUCUCAUUUUUUUAAAAAAUAAUUAUAAAAAUAUACACUAUUUUUUAAAAUCUUCAAGUAUAGGAGAGCUUUAGAGGAUUAAUUAAUUAAAUCUAUUUUAAUUUAUUUUUUUGUGACUCAAUUUUUUUAUUAUAUUUGACUACAAAGAUUGCUUUGGCACAAUUUACUAUUUUACUCUUAUAAGGUAAAACUGAGAAGAAUUUACUUUAAUAUUUUUCUAGUUUUAUACCAAAGUCAUUGUUUUUAAUACUACUUUAUUAGUAGAGUUUUAAUCUUUAAUUAAACUAAAUAUAGUAUCUUUCUGGCAUGAUACUCAUAUCAAUUAUUGGGAUGUCAAUUUUAUAUUAUUUACACAUAAAAGUAGUGAAAAUAAUAAUUAGAUUUUAUUUAAAAAUAUCAUAUUAUAAGUUACAAAAUUAAAUACCUAAAUUAUUAGAUACAAUAACUCAUGUUUAUUGGAAUAAUUUAGACGCUAUAUAUCAUAAUAAUAAAAUACUAAAAUAAAACUUAUAUUAAAGAUUAUGAUAAAAGAUGGUCAAAGAAACCUAAGAUGCGGCAAAUCCCUUCACCGUGAAAAUUAGAUCAAGCAGAGCUUGCAUUCCCUAUAGUUAAAAAAGGAAGAAAAAAAAAUCAUUACUAUUAGGCUUAAAUUUUAAUUAAACAAAAGACGAAGCAAGAGUGAAUAGAGUAAUACCAAAGCAAAUUUAGGAUUGUUAGGUCCAAUUUGUAGACCAACUUCAGAACUUCUAAUAUUAGACUUAGGAGGAGGGAUCUGAAAAAGUUGUUGCAACAGCGAGUACACAUCAAGAUUCACGCUGCUCCUCACUUUGAGGGCCAAAAGAGUGCGGAGGCGCGACAAGGCUGACGCGCGAUUCUUGUGCUGCAAUCGGUCUCCGGCGGCCUGCACUAUGACGCCGGUCGGUACGUGCUUGAGACGAACGGCCGAUUCGCGCUUGUUCUGGUGCUGACCGCCUGGUCCCGACAAUAUGAACGUGUCCAUUUCGCAUUCGUGAAACAGCUCAUCAUCUGCCAAUUCUAAGUAAUUCUUCUUCGAAGAAGUUGAAGAACAAUUGCCAUUCGGGCUGUAAUUGCAAGACAAGAACGGUGGCUGAUAAUUCCAGCAACACAUUCUUAUAGUAGGCCCAGCCUAAUCCAGCCCAGUCGCGCUAAUGAGCGCCUUCUCCCCCAUCUUAUAUGCAAUGAUUAUGUGCUGGUUGGAUGUAGUUUAUCUAAUAAGUCUUUACUUAGGGUCAGUUUGGAAUUGCGAAGGCUGAUGAAAUAAACUACUUAUAUUGUAUAGAUGAAAUAAGCUGUUGAUUAAAAAAAAUAGCUUGGUGUUUGAUAAACUGUAUUGUUGCAAAUGCUAUGAGUUUAAAAAGUAGAGUACAUGUGUUUGAUAAAUUUUAUUAUGAAAGUGAUGCUUUAUUAUAUGAUAACAAAAAUAAAUAUAAGUUUAAAUUGCCUUUUACUUUUAGAGUAUGUUUAAUAAAUUAUUUAGACAUACCUUUUCUUCUUAAACAGGUAAAAUUGCAUUCAAAAACUCAAUUAACGACACGGAUAUAGAAGAAAAUUAUGGAUAAAGAAAAAAAUAUAUAGGAAAAAAAUAUGAACUUACUAGAUAAAAAUUAGGUAUAAAAAAAUAUAAAUAUAUAUAGAUUAAACUUUAAAAGCCAUAGUUAUGGAAUUACAAUAUGAACUUAUUGGACAAAAACUGAAGAAAAUGUACGUGGUUACGACGAUAACUAAAUUAUGGCGGUAAUAUGAUAUCUAAUGAUUUAUAUAUUAGGGUUUAUAAAUAAGUAAGAUAUAAUUGUCUUUUUAUUAAAAUACUAGGAUUGUAAUAGGAAUUUUCAAAAAGUGUUGUAGCAUAUUGAAUAAGCUGCUUAUGAAAAGUAACCACCUAUCUACUUUUAAAAGCUGUUGAUAAAAUAGAGAAAAUUAUGAAAUAAGUUACUUUUACAAAAUUUAGCAAACAUUAUUUUUGUCAAAAAUUAUGAAAUAAGCAGGUUAUUGAACUUCAACCCCAAUACCAAACGGGACCUUAAUCUUAUAAGUUCUUUUUAAAUUUUUUUAUUGUUAUUUAGUUAUUUUUUAGUACCACUUUUAAAGACUAAAUAAGAUAUUUUGCCUCUACUAAUAAAAGCUUAAACUUUAGGCUUUCAGGAGUAUAUGUUUAAAAUGUUAAAAUGUUUAAAAUAUUCUUUUUUUUUACAAUCUUAUUUCAUUUUUUUCAUAACAUAACUUUAAAAAACUUGUCUAUUAAAUUAAAUUUAUAAUUUGUGAUAAAAGUUUUCAGUGACAACCAAAUAAUUAAAUUUCUUUUUAGUAACUCUAUUUAUAAAAGUUCUACUGACAAAAUGUCUAUUUAAAUAAGCUCUAUUUAAAAGUUAUACUAAACGGACCCAACAAUAUCAUUGACGCAAGCAAUGUUAUUCAAUUAUUUUUGAACUCAUGGUGGCUCUGUAUCAUUUGCAAAAUAUUGUUAUAAGAGAGAGGGAUAUAAUUUAUGUUGGAAUAUUCUCAAAACAAAUGGCGUGCCUUAAAAGGUGUCUUAUUGUAAAAUACAUCUAACUAAAUAUUGUCAUAUACAAGAAAAAUGUAUCUUUUUUUUCUUUUAAAGAUGUAUCUAUUCAUGGUGCUGUAUUUUUUUUUGAAAUGAUGAUGGUUUAUCUUGGACCAGUGAUGAUUUAAUUUAAAUUUUAAUCCAAUAACCAUGGAUAGAGGGUGUCAUAAAAGGUAACAACCCAAAUGAAGGAGCGCAUGAUUAUCUAUAAAUAAAAGUCGCAACAUUUUCUAUAAAUAGAAGUUACGCCAUUUUUUGAUCCAUAUAUCUUCUUGCACCACUCUUUUUUUCUUUUUUAUUUUAAUCCCUCUUUCCUAAAACGAAUUUCUGCAUAAUAAAUCUAUAUUUUAUGCAUCAAAUCUCUAAUAUAUUAUUUUUUUUGUAGGAACAAUAUAUUAAUUUUUCGUAAGCUUACAACAUACAAGGGUAUUUAGGUUUGCUUUUAUUAGAGCAUAAUACAGGCAAAUAAAACAAGCACUUCAUUAUAUCAUGGAGACACAUUUGCUUCACUCAUAUAUGUCACUCAAUUGGAGGAGAGAGUAACUAACGUCUUGAGGAAAGCAACAUUGUGUCUUGCAGCACUGUCAAUUCUUAAAAUUUACUAUUAUUAUUAUGAUGAUUAUUAUUCUUUGUACCUAUAAAGUUUCAUCAAUUAUGUCUCCAAUUAGCCACAAUUAUUAUUCCCCAGGAAUAUAUUUCCAAUAUUUUAUUUCACAUAUUUACUUCUGCUACUAGUAUGAUAACAAAUAAUGCCUUUUUUAACUACAUCAGUUUCUAGAUCGAUUUUAUUGAUAACUAACCGAACGCACCAUCCAUUAUUUAAUUUAUGGGUCAAAUAAGUCUAGUAGUUGAAAUAGAAUGUUUGUUUGGUAGAUAAUUUCGAUUUUUAUAAUUGUUUAAAAGAUUUUCAAACAUAAGUACAAUAUUAUACAAUUGAAGCCUAGUCCAACAUAGAAAAUCAAAUAAAAUUAAUUUUCAUCACUACUCGAGAGAAUCAAAAGAGUACUAAGGUAGCAUUUUUUUUUUAAUCUAAAAUUUGAAUAGGCCUGAAUUUAGGUGAAGUCUUAACAUAAAUGUCUAAAUAAUAUGUUUAUUUUUUUAAUAUCUGAAAAUUAAGUGACAUCUUAUUUGUUUUUUUAUAAUUUUUAAAAAAUAAACAUGGUUAUUUGACAUUUUUGUUCUUAUAAGUCAAAAUGAAUAAAUGGAUUAGACAUUAUAAUUUAGGAAAUAACUAUAUAAUAGAAACAUCUUUAGGAUAGAGUAUUUACUUUCCAUUCAUAUAUGGUUAUGACUUAUGAGUACGAAAGCACAAAAGUCGUGUGUUGAAAGUAUGGUGUUCAUGUGGAAAUUUCAGCUAAAAGUCCACAAAGUAAUUUCAGUCAUCGUACAGUCCACUGUGCUUGGACAAUGAGAUGACAUUGAAAAAUUAUCACGGAACUUCAAGGGAGGUUCAUAGCAUCGAUUUAUUCUACAGAGUCACGCAAAUUGAUUCAAUAAUAGUUUUCAUGCCAUCAAAAUCUCUCGCUAAUUAAUCCAACUGUUUCUGUUAAUUAUGGCUUCUUCUUCUCGAAACAACAAGAAAUAUGAUGUUUUUGUUAGUUUCAGAGGAGAUGACACCCGUGACAACUUUACUAGUCAUCUCUAUUCGGCUCUUUCUCGACAAAAUAUCCAAACUUUCAUUGACGACCAAUUGAAUAGAGGAGAUGAAAUUUCAGAGUCACUUUUGAAUGCAAUUGAAGCAUCAGCCAUUUCAGUUAUCCUUUUCUCUGAAGGCUAUGCCUCUUCUAGAUCGUGUCUCGAUGAACUUGAGAAGAUCCUCGAGUGCAAGAGAGAGUAUGGACAGAUUAUGAUUCCGGUUUUCUAUCUGGUUGAUCCAUCAGACGUGAGAAACCAAACGGGGUCUUUUGGGAUUUCAUUUUCGAAGCUUGAAGAAAGAUUUAAGGAGGAUUCAGAGAAGCUGCAGACUUGGAGGAAUGCUUUGAAGGCAGCAGCCAGUCUGUCUGGCUUUCAUUCUCAGAUCAUCAGGUGAAAAGUUAUUUUUAAUUUCGCAUACUAAUAUUUAACACUGUAAAUAGAUUUCACGCAGCACUCUUUUAGUUACAUAACUACACUUUUUUUAGGCAUCAGAUUCUAGACUUCUUGAAUUUCCCCACUUUUGAGCCCAUAUAUUUUUGCAGAAUUAAUAACAAAAGCCCCAGAAGUUUACAAUAUAUUUAACAAAAUUAAUGGCAUUCUGUCUUUUUUUAAGCAAUUUCAAUCUCUCACUCAUAUACCAUUAUGAAAAAAAAAAAAAUCUCCCACAUAUAGAAUAUUCCUGUAAUUUAAGAGUUAUUAAUUUAUAGGGAGAUUGUAAAUUCCCUUACACAAAUUAAUAAAUACUACUUAUUCUGAUUAUUUUUAUAAAAUUUGAUAGCUCUCUUGGUACCAUCAUUUUACAAAAUUAUCUCUAUGAAAAAAAAAAUAAGUGGUAUAAAUUAAUUUCAAUAGAAAACUGGCAAUUUCCUUUUUUUCAUAGUUGCUGCAAAUCCCUCCUAUUUGAAGUUACUGGUGAUAAUUUUAUGUAUUUGCUAGGCCUGAAUCGGAACUUAUAAAGGAAGUUGUUAAUCACAUUUUGAAGAGACUGGAUGAAGUGUUAUAACAAAAACCACCUGGUUGGAGUGGAAUCAAAAGUUGAGGAAAUUGAAUCUCUGUUAGGUGUUGAGUCGAAAGAUGUUUACGCUUUAGGGAUUUGGGGCAUUGGUGGCAUAGGCAAUCGCCUUGUACACACCACCCUAAAUGAUUUUGUUAUUGAACUUUACAACCCAAAACACAUCUACUUAGGUGAGCAUGUGACUUAUAAACUAGUGAAAAAACCCACUUGCCAGCGGCAUGGAAUAUUACAGGACGCGCAACGAGUUCUUAUAGAGUAUGUUGUGGGCCCAUAUCUCAACCAAUGAAAACAUGCCACUCAUCCGAUUGUGCACUACAUCAACUCUCCUGUAUAUAACGCAAUCACAUUUGAAAACUUUCUACUUUGUUAAAUCUAAAUUGUUGUAUAUGGGAAAGUUUCAUCAUGUGGAAGCAAAAGCAAUAAAGAGGGAACAGUUAAACUCCAUCAAAUCUUAUAUAUUUUAAAAAACAUAUUUGUAUAUUGAUUUUUUUUUAAAAAAAGAACGUGAUAGGUGUCAUUUUCACCCAACUCAUUUUUGCUGUGAAUCAAUUUGCUUAAACAUCUAUUUUGGGGUGAAAAACAUCAUGAUCAGGCACACAUGAGCAAAAUGUGCUCCCCUCGGCCUAAAAUGACUCAUCGAGAAAGAUUAUCCCCGAUGAGGUGUGUGCUGGUCACAUGAGCAAAGUCGGCUCGAGGAAGUGCGAGAAGAGACUAGAAUUAAGUCAAAACGAAGACUUGGUUAAAGGUCAACCCAUGGGUUUCCUCCAAAGAAUUCGAGCAUGAAGCCCACUCACCAGUAGUUACGCUGCCUACUCUCCCACGAUUAUGUGACUAACCUAACAAUGGUGUUGGGGGAGAGAGGAGGCCCAUAAUUUUGGUUGGAUAUUAAAGCUUUAGAGAACGGAGGUAAGGGUUUGGAUAACUUUUUACUUAAUUUUCUCAUACUCUCUCUAUUCACAAUUUUAUCUUCUCUAUCUUUCUUGUUUUCUGAAAUUAAACCUUUUUUUCAUUCAGAGUAGCUGUAAUUAAGUCACGUGAAUCAUGUCACGAGUUUUUCCAAGUAGACCCAUAUCGCUCACUUGCGCGUCGGAGGGUUUACGCCGGAAAAACCUCAGCAUCUCCUAACUAGUUGUUAUAAACGUAGGUGUUCUUGGAGAAAGUACUCGAGGGCGCAGGAAUUUGUUCGAUAGUGAGGAAGUAGCAUAGAACCGUCUCCCUAUUAACAACAAAUUUAAGUUUUGGCGUGGUUGUCUGGUCGCUACAUAGCUUGACCAGAUUUCUAUAUCAACAAACAUGUAUCCACUCUUUCAAGUAUUUAUACCAAUUCCAUAUUUGAAAUGUUUCAUUUGAUUCCAUAGUUGACGUGGUAGCAUCUAUGGCUAGAAUUUACCUUUAAAAAAACUAGCUUGUAAGGAAAGGUUAAAGAUGCCCAUGAACCUUUAUUUCUACUUAGAUUAUUGUAUCUUUUUCAUUUGAAAAAUUGAAUCUUGUCAUUCACAUAUCAUUAACACGAGCAAUAUAGAUUAAUAAAUCAUUGUUCUUUAUUAUUGUGCCAAAUUUGACUUUUUAUUGAAAAAAUUGGUACAUUUCUUGAAUCAAUUUGGAGUUUCUACAACUUUUCAGGGAUCAGUUUCUCCUACAUUCUUUCGAUGUCAAAAGAUAUUCAAGCGGUUGAAUAAGAAUUGACAUAUGCAAUAUAAAUACAAGAGUUGUUUGCCAUUUUAAAUUGGGAAUAACAUAUAAUGCUCAUCAAAACUUGCUAAUGAGAAAGUAAAUUCCUCAGCACUUAAAUGUUCUAGCCAACCGAGAAAGCAUCUUUUCAUGGAUCUCCUUGGGUCUGUCGUCAUGGGGAUGAUGUCCCACUCCUUCCAAUACAAUUAACUUGCACAUUUGAGAGUUAAGAAGGUAGAAAUGAGGAGUAUUAACCAACAGGUCCAACAAAGAGGGUGAAUGGAUUCUCAACACCCCAUAAAACUAGUAUAGGUAUAGAGAUUGAUGGCAUCAAUUGCACUAGGUUUGGCCUUGGUAGGCCUAUCACAAUCGAAACAAAUGCAUUAAGCAUCUAUUCAUUAUCGGUGGGUUCUCGUAUGAUUUGCAGUUUUGAGGUCAAUUAUGAAUUCUAAGUAGCCGUUUUUGUAGGAGGUUAAAAUGGCACAUUAGUGGAGAAAUUAGGGCAUGUUCGGUAACAUUUAUGGGCCCUGUUUUCAUUUUCCUUUUAUGAAUCUAAGUUAAUGCGCGAUUGAUGGCCGAAAUUCAAAAAACAAAUUGUGAAACAAAUAAUUCAUAUCUUCUUUUAUAGUUAUAAAUUUGAGAACAUGUAUAACUUAUUCUCAAUGAAUUACAAAUAUAAAUUUGAGACUGUCUAUUUCUCUCGCCUAAAAUCUUAUCGCGAUCUUCCCAUUCACUCUCCCUUAUCACAGAUCUAAUCGCUCUUUUUCUCCAUCUUUGGUACAUGUUGCUAUUCUCUCUUCUUUACUGCUCUGGUCCUGCUGCUCUGUCUCUUUCACUACUGUUGCUCUUCCUCUGCGCUGCUGUUAUCUCUCUCCUGCUGCUGUUAAAUUUGUGAGUUCGCUCUUUGUUACUAUCAUCCUCACAACUGGCGGAAAUCAGAGAAUCCACUCUUUCGUAUGCUUAAAGUUCUUGGGAUUGAAAAUUUUCACCAAGUUAAAAAUGUGUAAUAAAGAUUUCUUCUUCGAAAAUGUUAUAACAUUCUUUUACAGUUUUACCUUUUUCACCUCUUCCUCUUUCAAUGUGAAAAAAAAUGUAAGUUAGUUUAAACUUUAGAGAAUUUUAGAUGAAAUCAUUCCACAUCCAAUUAGACUAUAUCUACUUGUUUGUCCAUUAACAUAAUUUUAAUUUAAUAUAUAAUUGUAAUUAUCCAAGCAGGGCUCUAAGAUGUCAAUGCCCCACCAAAAAGGGCAAAGGAAAAUGAAGAAAGAAGACAAAAGAGGAAGAAGAAAAAAAAUUGAGAGGAAAAUAUAUCAAGGGUAGGCACCAGAUGUUUGAAAAAGAAAAAGAUAAAUUCAAAGCUCAAAAGUUUGAAAACUUGAAAUUUGCAGCUGUAUUGGUUGAAGAUUAAAGCCACCUUUUUGACUUUAUUGGCCAUCAUUUUGCUAUAAAUAGAAGUGCAAAUGAAGAGCUGAAGCAUUCCAUCGAGAGAGAAGCAUUUCCUUCCUUUAGAGUUGAAAGUAUUAAAGAGUUUAAUAAACUCUUGAGUGAUUAGUGUUUUGAGAGUUUGGGUGUAUUAGGAUUUUGGGAAGUGAGCUAAAAUACUACAAUACUUGUAACUCUUUUUCACUAGUAAAAUAUUUCCUUCUGUCUUUGCCCGUGUACGUAGGCUAAAAGCCAAACCACGUAAUUUUUGGUGUCCUCUUUGUGCUUGUUCUUUAUUUUCUUCCAAUUUCAUUCUAGCUGCGUGUCUGCUUCACCCAUCAAUUUCCUAAUAGUGGUAUCAGAGCUAUUGGUUGAAUUUUUUGGAGUCGGGUACUGUUCACGUAAGGGGUACUAUUCACGUAUACGAUAAUAUUCACGUAUAUGAUACUAUUCACGUAUAUGAUACUAUUCACGUAUACGGUACUAGUCACGUGAAACGGUGGAAGCGAUCCAAGAAUUUUACGGUACAAAGCAGGGAAUAGUGGUGUGAGUAAAGCAACUGUGUGGUUUUGUACAUGUCUAGGAAAGUUCUGUCACAAAGGCGAUAAGAGCUUAAGGAGUCUAGGUUUUAAGUAGGGGUGGGCAAAAUCGGGUUCGGGUCGGGUUCGGUUCAACCCGAUCGGGUUUCGGGUUGUUCGGGUUAGACAAAAAUUAAUCCGAACUUAACCCGAAUUAGUGACCCGACCCGAUCCGACCCGAAUAUUAAGUUCGGGUUAGAUUUAAAUAAUUAAUAAUUUAGCACAAAUAACUAUUAAACUAUAUAUAUAUACCAUGAAAUAUUGAAUUUGAAAUUAUGAAACUUCAAAUCUCAAAAACGAGUUCGGGUCACAAAGCCACAACACAAAGUCACAAAGGAGAAAGCUCGGGUCGGGUCAGGUUGGGGGCUUCAGCCACGGCAGCAGAUGGCAGCAGCUCACGGCAGCAGCUCACGGCAGUAGAUCGCGGCAGCAGAUGGCAGCAGCAGAUGGCAGCAGCUCGCGGCACAGAUCGCGGCAGCAGAUGGCAGCCGAUUGCAGCAGCAGAUGGCAGCAGAUCGCGGCAGCAGAUCGCCUGUUGGGUGUCGGUUUCGGCAGCAGAUUUGGUUUCGGCAGAGUCAGACUUCAGGCCUUUGGUUUCGGCAGCACUCAUAGCAGAUUGGUUUUGUUCUGUGUGUUGUUUGUGUGUUUCACAGUGUGUGACUGUGUGUGAAUUGUUGUGAGCUGUGAGGUCCGUCUGCGUCUGGUGUGCAGUGUGCGUGUGUGUUGUAAAGUGUAAAGUGUAAUGGGUGAGUGAUUUUUUUUUUUGGGAAGACCCGAUCAGGUAUUCGGAUCGGGUCGGGUUUAAACCGACCCGAUCCCAACCCGAUCGGGUUGGCACUUCCUCAUCCGAUCGGGUUGCCAUAACAACCCGAUCCGACCCGAACCCGACCUUUUUUGGGUCGGAUCGGGUCGGGUUGGAUCGGGUUGGGUAUUUUGCCCACCCCUAGUUUUAAGUGGGACUAUUGUGACCCCUCUAGUCUUUCCUGGAAACUUUCCUGGUGUGCAUUCUCACACAUACUCACAACUAUUCAAGGUGGUACACUAACUUGUAUGCGGUAUUUAUCAACAAAAUGGCGGCAAAGUAUGAAAUUAAGAAGUUUAACGGAAAUAAUUUUUCGUUGUGGAAAAUGAAGAUAAAAGCUGUAUUGAGGAAAAAUAAUUGCUUGACAGCAAUUCGCGAAAGGCCCAUGGAGAUAAUUAAUGGCAAGUGGAACGAGAUAGAUGGCAACGCCAUUUCUGAUCUACACUUGGCACUUGUGGAUAGAGUAUUAUCCAGUGUGGCAGAGAAAAAUACAACGAAGGAAAUAUGAGAUACUCCUACAAAAUUGUACGAGGCCAAGUCACUACACAAGAAAAUCUUCUUGAAGAGGAGACUUUAUACUCUUCGAAUGGAGGAAUCUACAUCGGUAACAUAUCAGAUCAAUACCUUGAAGACUCUAUUUUCACAACUCACAACGUUGGGUCAUAAUAUAGAGGAAAAUGAACGUGCAGAACUUCUACUUCAAAGUCUACCAGAUUCGUAUGAUCAACUCAUCAUCAACCUGACGAAUAACAAUCUAGUGGAUAGUCUAGUUUUCGACGAUGUUGCAGCCUCCGUAUUAAAUGAGGAGAGUAAGCGGAAAAAUAAGGAAAACAAACAAGCAAGUUCGCAGCAAGCGGAGGCGCUAUCGGUAAUGAGAGGGAGAUCAACGGAACGUGGCCCCAGUAGGAGUCAAAAUCAUGGUAGAUCAAAAUCCAGAAGUAAGAAGAAUGUUAAAUGCUACAACUGUAGUAAGACGUCAAGAAAGAGUGUUGGAGUAACCAAAAGAGAAGAGAGGGCAAAGAACUUGAGUUAUCAAAUGCUCAGGGGUGUGUAGCAAGUACCUCAGAUGAUGGCAAAAUUCUCUACAGCGAGGCAACAACUGUUUCAGAAGGCAGAAAACGACCGUCUAAUGUUUGGCUUAUAGACUCAGGAGCUACCUGGCAUAUGACCUCUCGGAAAGAAUGGUUCCACUCAUAUGAGCCUAUCUCAGGAGGAUCUGUAUAUAUGGGAGAUGAUCAUGCUUUGGAGAUUACUAGUAUUGGUACUAUCAAAAUAAAAAUAUUUAAUGGUACAAUUCGUACAAUUGGGGAGGUAUGACAUGUCAACAGGCUGAAGAAAACUCUAUUGUCUUUUGGACAAAUGGAUAGUCAUGGGUAUAAAACUCAUGUGGAGAAUGGAAUUAUGAAGAUCGUUAAAGGUACGCUUGUAUUGAUGAAGGCAGAAAAGAUCGGUGCUAAUCUAUUCAUGUUUAAAGGAGAAACACUACAGGAGGCAGAUGCGUGUGUCGCAUCAAAUGGAGAAGAGUCAACGAUGAUGUGGCAUCUCAAACUUGGCCACAUGUCAGAAUAAGGUUUGAAGACUCUCUCUGAGCGAAAAUUGCUUCCGGGGCUCAAAUCGGUAAGUUUACCAUUUUGCAAGCAUUGUGUUACAAGUAAGCAUCAUAGAUUAAAAUUCAGUAGAUCUAUUGCUAGAAGUAAAUGCAUUCUAGACUUGAUUCAUUAUGAUGUUUGGGAAUCACUGGAUAUAUCCAUGGGAGGUGCAAAGUAUAUGGUGACUUUCAUUGAUGAUUAUUCCAGAAGAUGUUGGGUGUAUCCAAUUAAGAAAAAGUUAGAUGUAUUUCCAGUGUUUAAAAAAUACAAAGCUCGGGUGGAACUUGAAUCUGGUAAAAUGAUCAAGUGCUUGAGGACAGAUAAUGGUGGAGAAUAUAUAGACGGUGAGUUUCUUGCUUUUUGUAAGCAAGAAGGUAUUCAGAGGCAAUUCAUGGUGGCAUACACUCCUCAACAAAAUGGAGUGGCAGAGCGGAUGAAUAGAACUCUUACAGAACGGAUAAGAGUUAUGUUGAGGACUGUUAGUCUACCCAAUUCAUUCUGGGCAGAAGCAGCCAAAACUGCUUGUUAUAUAGUAAAUUGAUCACCAUCUAUAGCUAUUAGGUUGAAGACAGCGAUGAAGAUGUGGACUGGAAAGGCAGCUGAUUAUUCCUACCUACAUGCAUUUGGAUGUCCUGUGUACGUGAUGUACAAUGCCCAAGAAAGAACAAAGCUGGAUCCAAAAUCUAGAAGAUGUAUCUUCUUGGGGUAUGCUGAUGAAGUAAAGGGGUAUCGUCUGUGGGACCCCACUGCCCACAAGAUCGUCAUCAGCAGAGAUGUUAUCUUUGUAGAAGAUCAACUGCAAAUGAGAGACGAGGAUGAUAGCACUGUAAAAGAAAAGUCAGAGAUUGUGCCGGUAUAUGUGGAAAAUAAUCCAGAAGAUUCAGAUUCUUCUGAAGCAGCACCAGAACACGAAGAACAGGAACUAGUCGAGUCUGAGGCUCCAGAAGUUUGUCGGUCAACUCGUGAGAGACGACCGCCAACGUGGCGCUCGGAGUAUGUUAUAAAGAUCAAUGUUGCGUACUAUCUUCUAACUGAGGAUGGAGAGCCAUCAACUUUCCAUGAAGCUUUAAACAGCUCAGAUGUUACUUUAUGGAUGACAGCAAUGCAGGAAGAAAUUGAAACUCUACACAAGAACAAGACAUGAGAACUUGUACCACUACCACACGGAAGAAAAGCCAUUGGUAACAAAUGGGUCUAUAAGAUCAAACGUGAUGGCAAUAACUAAGUGGAGCGAUAUCGUACAAGACUGGUGGUGAAAGGAUAUGCUCAGAAAGAAGGUAUUGACUUCAAUGAGAUAUUUUCUCUGGUAGUUCGACUCACAACAAUCAGAAUUGUCUUGGCAAUGUGUGCUACAUUUGACCUACAUCUAGAGCAGUUAGAUGUGAAAACUGCAUUUCUUCAUGGAGAGCUUGAAGGGGAAAUUUAUAUGCUUCAACCAGAAGGUUUUGCAGAAACAGGAAAUGAGAACUUAGUUUGCAGAUUGAACAAAUCUCUAUACGGUCUCAAACAGGCGCCGAUGUGUUGGUAUAAGAGAUUUGAUUCCUUCAUCAUGAGCCUUGGAUACAACAGACUUAGUUCAGACCAUUGUACAUAUUACAAAAGGUUUGAAGAUAAUGAUUUCAUUUUUUUGCUGUUGUAUGUGGAUGAUAUGUUUGUAGCAGGCCCCAACAAAGAUCGAAUCCAAGAAUUAAAGGCACAGUUGGCUAGGGAGUUUGAAAUGAAGGACUUGGGAUAGUAAACAAGAUUCUAGGGAUGCAAAUUCAUCGAGACAGAAAUAACAAGAAGAUUUGGGUUUCUCAGAAGAACUACUUGAAGAAAAUCUUGUGGCGCUUCAACAUGCAAGAUUGUAAGUCAAUUUCUACCCCACUUCCUGUUAAUUUCAAAUUAUCCUCAAGUAUGUGUCAUAGCAAUGAAGCAGAGAUGAAUGAAAUGUCUCGAGUACCGUAUGCAUCAGCAAUGAGAAGUUUGAUGUUCGUUAUGAUAUGUACUAGACCGGACAUUGCACAAGCAGUGGGAGCAGUCAGUCGAUACAUGGCGAAUCCCGGUGGAGAGCAUUGGAUAGUUGUAAAGAGGAUUCUGAGAUACAUCAGAGGAACAUCAGAUGUUGCAUUAUGUUAUGGAGGAUCAGAGUUUACUGUCAGGGGCUAUGUAGAUUCAGAUUUUGCAGGAGACCUUGAUAAAAGGAAAUCCACUACUGGCUAUGUGUUUACACUUGUAGGAGGAGCUGUAAGCUGGGUUUCAAAACUGCAAACUGUUGUGGCCCUAUCUACAACAGAAGCAGAAUACAUGGCAACUAUACAAGCUUGCAAGGAAGUUAUUUGGAUACAAAGAUUAUUGGAGGAACUCGAGCACAAACAACAGAAAAUUCUUGUGUUUUGUGACAGUCAGAGUGCCUUGCACAUUGCAAGGAAUCCAGCCUUUCACUCUAGGACAAAGCACAUAGGAGUUCAGUAUCACUUCGUUCGAGAAGUAGUGGAAGACGGAAGUGUGGAUUUACAGAAAAUCCAUAUGAAGGAGAACCUAACAGAUGUUUUGACCAAGCCAAUCAAUACUGACAAGUUUUUCUGGAGUAGAUCCUCUUGUGGCCUAGCAGAAACAUAGGCAACAUAAUUAUGGCGAAGCAGAAAGGAUGAUGUGGAGAUUGAUUGAUUCCCAAUCUAAUCUCCAAGUGGGAGAAUGUCAAUGCCCCACCAAAAAGGGCAAAGGAAAAUGAAGAAAGAAGACAAAAGAGGAAGAAGAAAAAAAAUUGAGAGGAAAAGAUAUCAAGGGUAGGCACCAAAUGUUUGAAAAAGAAAAAGAAAAAUUCAAAGCUCAAAAUUUCAAAGUUUGAAAACUUGAAAUUUGCAGCUGUAUUGCUUGAAGAUUAAAGCCACCUUUUUUACUUUCUUGGCCAUCAUUUUGCUAUAAAUAGAAGUCCAAAUGAAGAGCUGAAGCAUUCCAUCGAGAGAGAAGCAUUUCCUUCCUUUAGAGUUGAAAGUAUUAAAGAGUUUAAUAAACUCUUGAGUGAUUAGUGUUCUGAGAGUUUGGGUGUAUUGGGAUUUUGGGAAGUGAGCUAAAAUACUACAAUACUUGUAACUCCUUUUCACUAGUAAAAUAUUUCCUUCUGUCUUCACCCGUGGACGUAGGCUAAAAGCCGAACCACGUAAUUUCUGGUGUCCUCUUUGUGCUUGUUCUUUAUUUUUUUCCAAUUUCAUUUUAGCUGCGUGUCUGCUUCACCCAUCAAUUUCCUAACCUAAGAGGUAUAUAUAGGGGUGCUAAUAGUCCCACUCUUUCCACAAUUAUCAUUACCCUUGAAUAUUUCUCCAACAUUUUAUUUCAUAUUUGACUUUUGCUACUAAUACCAUAACAAAAGACGCUUUUUGAACUACAUCAGUUUCUAGUUGCAUUUUAUUGAUAAAUUAGCCAAACGCACCAUCAGUUAUUUAAUUUAUGGUUGAAAUAGUUCAUGAGCAGUUGAAAUAAUUUUUUUUUGGGUAGAUAAUCUCAAUUUUAAAAUAGUUUAAAAGAUUUUCAAACAUAAGAUACAAUAGUAUACAACUGAUGCCUAAUCCAGUAUAGAAAAUCAAAUAAAAUUUAUUUUCUUCACUGAUGUUGAGGUAGCAUUUAUUUUUUCAUCUAAAAUCUGAAUAAGUUUAAAUUUGUCUAGAGUCUGCAUGGAUCUGAAUAUAAAUGUCUAAAUAACAUGUUUAUUUUUUAAAUAUCUAUAAAGGAAGUGGCAUCUUAUUUGUUUUUAUAAUAAAAAACAUGUUAAACAAUGUUAUUUGACAUUUAUAUCCUUAUAAAUCAAAACGAACAAGGGGAUUAUAUUUUACAAUUUAGGAAAUAACUAUAUUUAAUAAAGAUAAUUUUGGGAUAUAGUAUUUACUUUCUAUUGUGACAUUUUCAUAUAUUAGAUAAAAGUUACAAAAGUUUAUUUUUAAAAAAUAGACUUCACACAUUUAACAAACAACCCGAAUGAAUAUGAAUAAGAAUUAUUAAAGCAAAAAUGAUAAAUAAGGAUAAUUUUAAAAUUAAAUGCAAUUAAUUGAGAGAUUAUGACUGAUAAGAAAAAUUGGGGGGCAAAAAUUAAAAUAUCAACCUACUACUCAUGGUUGAUAGUCAUGACCCACUCAAUUUGAGAAUUAAAAGCACAAAAGCCAUGUGCUGAAAACUAUGGUGUUCAUGGGGAAAUUUCAGCUAAAAGUCUAAAAAGCAGUGAAAUUAUCUUACUCACGAAAACUUCCAAGGAGGAGUGCCAAUAGUCUUACUCAUAAUGCCGUGUCUAACUCAUAACAUACAGUAGGAGUUCUACGAAAGUAACGGAAGAGUGCCAAAAGUCUUAACUCUCAUAACGCCGUGUCUAUAAUUUCAAUUGAAAAAAUCUGCCAAGUCGAAAAAUUAGGUGGGCAUUUCAAUAACCCUUGAAUAUUCCAUGAAUCAUUGUCCAGGAAGCUUGGAAAAUGAGAUAUCAGGUCAAUAUAUGCAGCAGAGUCACACUCAUUUUGGCUUUUUAAUUGUUUUCAUCUGAUCACAAUCUCUCUCUAAUCAAUUCAACUGCUUCUGUUGAUUAUGGCUUCUUUUUCUCGAAACAACAAGAAGUAUGAUGUUUUUGUUAGUUUCAGAGGAGAAGACACCCGCGACAACUUUACUAGCCAUCUCUAUUCAGCCCUGUCUCGAAAAAAUAUAUCCAAACUUUCAUUGAUGACCAGCUCAACAGAGGAGAUGAAAUUUCACGGUCUCUUGUGAACGAAUUGAAGCAUCAGCCAUUUCAGUUAUCAUUUUCUCUGAAUCAUACGCCUCUUCCAGAUGGUGUCUUGAUGAACUUGCGGAGAUCCUCGAGUGCAAGAAGGAGUACGCACAGAUUGUGUUACCGGUUUUCUAUCGCGUCGAUCCAUCAGACGUGAGAAACCAAACAGGGAGUUUUGGGGAUUCAUUUUCAAAGCUUGAAGAAAGAUUUGAGCAAAAUUCAGAGAAGCUGCAGACUUGGAGGAAGGGAUUGAGAGAAGCGGGCGGUUUGUCUGGAUUUCAUUAUCGUAGCAUCAGGCGAAAAGUUACUUUUAAUUUCUCAUGCUACUAUUUAACACUGUAAAUAAAAUUCACGCAGCACUAUUAGUUAAAUUUCCGGAUGCUUAACUACAAUUUUAAAUUUUCUUAGGUAUCAAAUUCUAGGCUUCUUGACUUCCCCACUUUUGAACCCCGAUAAUUAUGAAAGAAUUUUGAUAGAAUUAAAAGUAAAAGCCCGAGAAUUUUACUAUACAUUUAACAAAAUUAAUGGUGGUCUGUCGUUUUUUAAGCAAUUUCAAUCUCUCACAUACCUCCAUCAGAAAAAAAAAAAAAAAAAAACUCACACAUAUUCCUGUAAGUUAAGAAUUAUUAAUUUAUAGGGAGAUUGUAGUGGUAUAUAUUAAUUUCAAUUGGAAAACUAGCAAUCUCCCUUAUUUCAUAUUUGAUGCAAAUCUCUCCUAUUUGAAGUCACUGCUGCUAAUAUUAUGUACUUGGUAGGCCUGAAUCAGGACUUAUAAACGAAGUUGCAAGAUAACAAAAACCAGCUGGUUGGCGUUGAAUCAAUAGUUGAGGAAAUUGAAUCUCUACUAGCUGUUGAGUCGAAAGAUGUUUAUUGUUUAGGGAUUUGGGGCAUUGGUGGUAUAGGCAAAACAACAAUCGCUAGAGCAAUUUUCGACAAAAUCUCUAGUGAUUUCGAAGGUUCUUGCUUCCUUGAAAAUGUUAUAGAAGAGUCACAAGACCGGGAGGGUUAGCUUGCCUGCGACAAAAACUUAUUUCAAAUUUAUUGAAGGAUAAAACUGUGAUUCCUGAUAUUGACCCCAAUUUUAGAAGGGUCAGCCGCAUGAAAGUUCUGAUUGUUUUUGAUGAUGUGUCUUGCUUCAGCCAAUUAGAAUCCUUAAUCGAAAGUCUUGAUUGGUUGACGCCUGUGUGUAGAAUCAUAACCACCAGAAAUAAACAAGUGCUUAGAAAUUGGGGGGUGAGGAAAAUAUAUGAGAGGGAGGCAUUAGAAUAUCAUCACGCUCUUGAGCUUUUUAUUCGACAUGCCUUCAAACAAAACCAUCCUGAUGUUGGUUACUAGGAACUUUCAAGCAAGGCAGUGAAAUAUGCUCAAGGUGUUCCUUUAGCUCUUAAAGUUUUGGGUUGCUUUCUAUAUAAAAUGGAAAAAGAAGUCUGGGAUAGUGCAAUAAAUAAAUUGCAAAGAAUCCUCCAUCCAAGUAUCCUGCAGGUAUUAAAAAUAAGUUACGAUGGUUUGGACGAUAAGGAGAAAAAUAUUUUCAUUGAUGUUGCUUGUUUCUUUCAAGGUGAGGAUGUAAAUCCAGUAAUGAAAUUCCUUAAUGCAAGUGGCUUCUACCCAGAAAUAGGAAUAAGUGUUCUCGUUGAUAAGUCUCUUAUUGUCAUAUCAAAUAACAACAAGAUAACUAUGCAUGAUUUGCUACAAGAAUUGGGUAGGGAUAUUGUUAGUCAAGAAUCAAUUGAUCCUGGAAACCGCAGUCGGCUAUGGCAUCAUGAGGAUAUCUACAAAGUUCUUACGUAUAAUACGGUAAGCAAUUUGCUGUGGGUUAUUACUUUGGAAUAUUCUAGCAUUUACAAACUUGAUAUGGAUAUAUUUAUAUACUCUCGAAUUGAUGAAUCUAGAAUUAAUAGCAGAGUGACAAUGAUUAGAAAAAACAAUAGUGGUUAUAAAUCCCGCGACAACUUGUAUAAUUCUUUGUAAGAAUAGUUUAUUUGUCAAUUUGUAUUGUAUUCCACAUGCGUAAAUUUCAUGUUUAGUAUUACUUGUAUUGCUAUGUUCCUUUGUGCGUUUGCAAUUAAGAGUUUCACUGCCUAGCAAUAACUAUAUAAACAUGAAUUACUGAAAUUUGAUUCGAGCAAUGAUAAAGAACUCCACUCCAAUCCAACCUUAAUUCCACACAAGAGUAAAAAAAAAGUUGAAUUAAUAACUAAGUUACCCCUAGUUGUGAAUCAAUGCCAAACAUGGCCUAAAAAUUUGUCUUGGUGGGGUUGAGGUGCAAUUCAUUGGUGGGAUGUAAAUAUCAUUUUUAAUUUUUUUAUGCAUUAUUAAGGGACCGAUAAAGUUGAGGGCAUCUGUUUGAAUAUGUCCAAAGUGAAAGAGAUCCAUCUAAAUGCCAAUACAUUCACAAAGAUGCGGAAAUUGAGAUUUUGAAAAUUCUAUAGCUCAUCAUUCAACGGAGAGAACAAAUGUAAGGUGUCUUAUUUGGAAGACCCUAGAUUUACUGAAGUGAAGUAUCUCCACUGGCAUGGAUAUCCAUUGAAGUCAAUGCCUUCAAACAUUUGUGUAGAGAAGCUUGUGUUUCUUGAAGUGCCUAAUAGCAGCAUUGAACAACUUUGGGAUGGUAUGAAGGUAGGUAUAACUUAAUACUUUAUGUGUGCAAUCUUUCAAUAAUAACGUUAAGUUAUCAUACGUGGUACUGAUUCCUCUUGACCUCUUUUUUGACCAAGCAGCAUCGUGGUAAGUUAAACCAGAUAAUCCAUGCUACCUGCAAGAUGCUAAUUGCCAAAACUCCAUACCCCGCGUUGAUUCCACAUCUAAACAAGCUAGUUAUCUUGAAUCUAAGAGGUAGCAAAAGCCUGAAAAGUUUUCCAGCUGAAAUAUUUAAUUUGGAAUUUCUUACCCCACUUGAUCUUUCGGGGUGCUCAAAACUUAAGAGGCUUCCAGAGAUCUCAUCUAGUAAUAUAAGCUGCCUUUUUUUUAAGUGGAACUGCAAUUGAAGAACUGCCUUCAUCAAUUGAGCUUCUACUUAGGCUGGGGUACUUGGACCUUUCAGACUGUAAAAGGCUUAAGAGUCUCCCAAGCAGCCUAUGUAAGUUGAAAUCUCUUGAAAUUCUUGAUCUCAGUGGUCGCUCAAAUCUUCAGAGAUUGCCCGAAUGUCUUGGCCAGUUGGCCUCUCUAGGAACAUUGCUCCUAGAGAAAACCAAUAUUGAGAGAAUACCAGAAAGCAUCAUCCAAAUUUCUGUGUUGACUUACCUCCACUUAAGCUAUUGUGAGAGGCUUCAAUCCUUACCAAAGCUUCCAUCCCCUUACAAUGGUUAGAUGCCGAUAAUUGCACAUUGCUGCAAUCAUUAUCAGGUUUAUUCCCAAGUUCUGAAUUUUUUAUAUAAGCAGUGUUUUCUGACUAGAGCAAUAAUUUUAAAUCGGAUGGUAAUUCUACUGCAGGAAUUGUUGAGGAUGCCCUGCAGAGAAUUCAGCUUAUGGCAGCUGCCCAUUGGAAAGAAGGACAGGAAAAGGUGUGUUUUUAACUCUCUUCUUUCAAUAUAUAUAUAUAUAUAUAUAUAUAUAUUUGAGUUAUGAUUUUUUUUUUUUUAACGGAUUGAUUUUCACAUGAACGGAGGUCAUAUCUUACUACUCGGGAAUGAAAUUCCGAAGUGGUUUGAGUUUCAAAGUGUGGGAUCUUUUAUAACCUUGGAGAUGCCACCAGAUUCCUUCAAUAAUAACCGAGUAUUACUGGGCUUUGCAUUUAAUGCUAUUGUAGCAUUUUCAGACCGUCAUGUAGAUAAUGACAGAUGGUUUUCAUUUUCUUGUGAAUUCAAAGUGAAAACCGAAGAUUGUGAUCCGCAAGUCACACGAAGAUUUCUAAAGCGCCUUGCUUACGUAGAAUCAGAUCACUUACUUUUGAGGUGCGAUUUUUUCACUGAGGAGGAUUUCAAUGGUUUUUUGAAAAUAUAAGGUGUGUUUGGAAGUGAGGUGCUGUACCUUUUAAAGUGCAGUUGCUGUGGAAUAAAAGAUACAGCUGUGAAAGAAAAGUUUCAGAAAAAAAAAUUGACUAAGCUACCAAAGCUCAGGUACAAGUGUUACCAAACACUUUAGUAGCUGGGUUUUGACAGUUCAGCUACCUCACCACACUCCCAAACGGGCUAAUAAUUGCGUUCCUGAGGUAGUCGGCUUCUUUUUUGAUGAUUUUGAUCAUUUUCCACCUUUGGAGUGCGAGUGCCACGGGGUGAAAAAAUGUGGGGUCCAUUUACUUUACAUCCCAGAUUCUUCGGAUUCAAUGGAAGUUCCAAGCAGAUGUUUCAACUGUUACGAAGAAGACUAAGAUUUUCAAGAAUGUAAUUUUAUUUUUUCUCUUUUGCUAAUCACUAUUAAUAAUAGGAGAAAAAGCCAAGAUCAGUCUCGGAACAAAACAUGCAUGUAAUAACUUUCGAGGGACGUGGUGCAUGUAAUACAAAUUCACACUAGAGUAUUGGACUAUACCCUUAUUAGAUGAAGGGUAUAAAUUACCGGCCUUCUUUUCCUGCAGAUUUAAUCCCUUUUUUUCCCUUUUUUAUUUUUCAAAUGCCAGUGUUUUAUUCAUGAUAUUUAUGAAUUUUUAUCCAUGAUUUUUUAAUUUUAAUUUUAUUGAUUGAAUGAAGUUUCCUAGACACAUGCCCUCAAGCCUUAAGCGAAUGUAUAUAUUGCAAUAAGGCGUACAUAGGAAUUUUGAUCAGGUGCAUAUAAGAAUUUUGAUUAGGUGCGCGGCAGGACAUGCAACGAUUUCUUAUUAGCGCAGCUGUGUUGUGGGCCCCACAGCUCUGCCUACCACACCACUUGCGCACUAUAUCAACCCUCGUGUGUAUAACAGUCACAUUUGAAAAUUUUCUACUUUCGUAAAUCUGAAAACUUUCCAUCAUGUGGAAGCAAAAGCCAUAGAGAGGCGACAGCGAAAACACCAUCAAAUCUUAUAUAUUUUAAAAAAUAUAUUUGUAUAUUGAUUGAAAAAAGAAUAGGAUAGGUGUCAUUUUCACUCAACUCAUUUGUGCUGUGAAUCCAUUCGCUUAAACAUGUAUGCACUUUCUCAAGUGCCUAUACCAAUUCCAUGUUUGGAGUGGUGCAUUUGAUUCCAUAGUUGAUGUGGUAUCGUCUAUGGCUAUAAUUUAUAUCCACAAAACUGACUUGUAAGGAAAGGAUUGAAGAUGCCUGUGAACUUAUAUUUCUAUUUAGAUUAUUGUAUCUUUUUCAUGUAUAAAAUUGGAUCUUAUCAUUCUCAUAUCAUUAACAUUAGUGGAGAAUGUUAAUACCUCAACCAGUGUUUCAUCCACAGAUUUCUUAUUUGCAAAGAUGGACAGUAAAAUGUUCCUCAGUGUUUCCCUGCAGCACCAAUAUAUACACAUCAUAGAGUUUUUUAAUUUUUGACUCUAGUGUUUUAGGAUAACGAAAAAUGGACUGAAUAGAGAGAAGAGAAAAUACCUUCGUUUCACAUCUUCAAAGAUUGCAUCUGCAAUUGGCCUUUGCUUCAACAAAGGAUCAAUCAACCAAAGCAAUGGAAACAAUAGCUUGAUUCUCCAAUCGUCAACAAUGCCUUGUAGUUUAUGCCGCCAGCAUAAUUCAACAGAACAAGCCCUCUAACAAGUAUUUGUAUGUAAGUACGAUCAUUCAUUCUCAAUCAACCACCAAACUGAUGUCAACAAAGCCAUGAAGAUUGUCUCACAAGUCUUUCAUUUUCCCUCUCUUUUGGCCGAAGACCAGUAAACCAUUUGAAAUAUGGAUGUGCAAACCAGUAAAUAAAUCAUGAAGUUACACACUAGUCUGCUUUCGCACUCAUUCAGAACUAUCAAUGAUACUUACUGCAGGUACAGUGUAUACAUUAUACUAAAGUGAAGGCUGGAUCAAUAAGAAAUUCAAAAUGUUUCAUCACAUUUGGGGCUUGAUGAUGCCAAAGAAAGACCAUACCAAUUAUGACGAACAGUAAAAUGUGAACAAGAACAAGCAUACAUUUAAGAAAGCAUAGAAGCAUCAUUAAAAUAAAGCAUUCUUCUCACUAUUCUAUGUUGUUGGAAAUGGACCAAAAUAAAAAAGAAACCAUAUAUGGAACGUCACAACAAGAAUAUUUGUGCAUUUGUACAUUAUAGGAUAUUGGGAAGACAUCAGCAGAAAAGUGCAAUUUUUUUUUUUUUUUUUUGGGGAAAGGAACAGAGAAGUGCAAGUCAAAAAGGAGAAAAAACGGAAACAGAGAGAUGAAAAGGAAUGCAAUCUAAUUAAUCGUCUAAGGAGGCUACUAUGCUACAUUUAGCCAUUGGUUGAAUAGGCAGCCUGUCUUCUAGUACAACUUUAAAUUUACCAAGAUUGAGAAUUUUCCUUCUGAAGAAAAGUAAUUUCUGUAGCAGCUCCAUACUAAGGAAAGAGUGAAAUAGGUGUGCUUUACUUAUAGAAGCCCGUUCCUGUCCAGAGUGAUUAGUAAGUUGUUUCACCAUGACCCCCGUUAUGGUGACUGGAAAAAGAAAAAAAAAUAUUUGCCCAACACAGAAGUAGCACCCAAAGAGUCCUACUUAAGAGGCUUCAUACCCUGCACAAAUUGGAAAGUUUUGAAAAUUUUCAUGUUCCAAAUGAAGAUUGCCCAUUAAAAAAUUACACACAUAAUGUAUGUAAAGCAAUUAAAACAGAAAAACAAGGUUAACCCAGAAACAAUCCAACCAUCAAUAACAUAAAACUUUUGUAAUUCUGGUAAAGUGAAUGAGAAGCAGAACAUACAUUUCACUUAAUAAUGAAGAUACAUCUUUUAAUCAGUUUUUGCUCUUGCUUUAUUCUUGUACUUCCUUCCAAUAACAAUUCAUAAUGCAGGUAGGUAUCUUAAAAAGUUAUAUCAUACAUUUCUCUUAUCAAUGGAGCAGGUUGCUAUUAAACAUUAUUCAUAAACAAAGAGCCAAAUAUGCUUUAAAGCUACUUGCAAAUAUGCCAUCAGGCAUUGACGCAGACACUCAACAACAAAAAACAGACUUAUCGGCACUUAACAACACAAAAGUAAAAAAGAAAAUACUCUUACUCAAGCAUUAUAUUUGUUGCACAAAUAAGAAAGAAGAUAACAAUUUUAAAUUAACCAACAGGUUGAGACUUAUCGUAAUACACACUAUCAGCUAUGAAUUAGCAUACCUUAGAAGUCCUCAACUCAUUCACCGCUAUUCGAAGAGAAUCAUCCGAUAGAAUCAACCGUGACAACACUCCAGUGCUUAACCUGCAACAUUUAUAAAAGAUCACCAUAUGAGAGAAAUUUUAAAUUUAAAAAAAUUUGGAAACCUAACCGCCAAUCAAACACAUUAAAUAUAGCAAUUUCUCUUUUUAAGGUUCAAUUAUCACUUGAUAGAGUAUUAAGCUUAAUGCAAUACCCCAAUAAUUUUGCUGCUUCUGAUACAGAUCCCUCGACUGCGAAAAUUAGAUCAA
RNAcentral lists this long non-coding RNA (65534 nucleotides) under Citrus x clementina. RNAcentral describes it as "Citrus clementina (C. clementina) long non-coding RNA (CCLE_LNC004258)". The record is from RNAcentral. Lineage: Eukaryota; Viridiplantae; Streptophyta; Magnoliopsida; Sapindales; Rutaceae.